RNAcentral lists this long non-coding RNA (56036 nucleotides) under Prunus persica (peach). Its description in RNAcentral is "long non-coding RNA (PPER_LNC006322)". The record is from RNAcentral. Lineage: Eukaryota; Viridiplantae; Streptophyta; Magnoliopsida; Rosales; Rosaceae.
ACUCCUCUCCUCAACAAGCAGUACAAUUCUCCAAGAUCUCUCUUACAAGCUAAAAAGUAGAGUUAACAAGUUUGCAAUUUGAAUAGAAGUGAAGAGAAGCCUUGUAUUUAUAAAGGUUGGACAUCCUAAGUCAAGGAGGAAUCACAAGCCUAUUCCCAUUGGGAGUCCAACUCCAAGAAGAAGGGGUAUUUGUGGGAACAUAUAUUUCGAAGGCCAAUAAGAAGAAGAUACGUGAAAAAGGAAUAUUCCUUAGGUCAAACUAAUUACCCUAAUUAAUUUCUAUUUAAUUAGAGAAAUUAUCUUAAAUUUAAGAUAGGAAUAUCUCCAUAAAUCAAGGAACCAAUCUCCACCAAAUCUCUUAGAGCAAUUCUUAUCAUCUUUUUGGGGAAGAAUAAUCCUAACCAAAUAAGGAUUAUUGUCCUAAAACCCUAGCACACAAGGAGGCUAUAAAUACAUGGCUACACAAGGCAUUCAAGGUAAUUCUUCUCUAAUUCCCAAAUCAUACGAAAACCCUUCUCUCUCUCCUUGUCGUCGCCCCUCUCAUCUCUCCCUCUCUCACAUAGCUAAGUGCCACCACAUACGGCUAAGGCCACUCGGCUCUUCCCGUGAGAGAAAACUCCAUCCAUUUUAGCUAUUGCCGUAUCUUUUAUCAAAGAUCCAAUUGAACUAACUUAGACAUCGGAAGGCCUUUGGCCAACAACCCCUGGAUGUGGUCUAUUUACUCAUGUUUACUUCACAGGGAUCGAGAAAAAGAGAGAAGGAAGCUCAAAGGGAGAAAAAUCUACAUGCGAAUAUUCUCCCGUGAGAAAUUUACAGAAACACUUAGAAUCAUUCUACUAGUCAAACCACUGGUCGUAGUCCUUUUGAGGUUGUUUAUGGGAAAAAUCCUAUAAGCCCUCUGGAAUUAACUCCUCUUUCAAUCAAGAAUCAGUUCAAUGGUGAUGUAGAAGAAAGAGCUAAAAGCAUCAAAUGAUUGCGUGAACAGGUCUACAGGAAAAUCCUUCAACAAAAUGAAAAGUACAAGAAGAGUGCUAACAAGCAUCGGAAAGAUGCAAAAUUUAAGGAAGGUGCACCUUGAAAGUUUGGUAAACUCAAGCCUAAGGUUGAUGGUCCAUUCAAAGUAUUUAAGCGCAUAGGUAAUAAUUCUUAUGAGAUUGAGCUUCCAGAUCACUACAACGUUGCAAGUACUUUCAAUGUUUCAAACCUCUCUCCGUUUCAUUGCAAGUAAAACCAGCAUGACUCGACAUCAAGUCUUUUCCAAUCGAGGGAGUGUAUGCAAACAAACUCCUAAUAUCAUGCCCAAAGGAAUUCCAAAUACUUACAUCACUCACUCAAGCUGAAGGGGUUGCAAGACAUUAAAGCAGGUGUUAUUAUGACUGAAAAUUAAUUGCAUACAAAAUUUAUUUGAAGCCAAGCCUAUCUGGAACUCAUUGUUUUUUACGAAUCCCCAUUUAGAGUUUUCUAGAAGAAGUUAUGGUCAUUUAAGAGCACUUUCACCCAUUUUUCAUGGCAAAGGGUAAGGGCUGUUACUAUUCACGUGAAUAGUGGCAUCCCUUGCAAAAGGUUUGUUGUGUUUCCACCCAUUGUCAUGACAACCCAAAGAGAACCACUAUUCUCAUGAGAUAUGAGGAGAGGAAUUUGUAUAGAGUUUUGCUGUGGGAAUUGAAAAAUAUAGCUAGCUAUUUAUUUAUGAAAAAAAAUUGAAAUUUUUGGUUUUUCUAUUUUUAAAUUUUUUUCAUUUUUUUUAUUUAAAAAAUUUGGUUGUUGACGUCAUCGCUAACGUUAGCAGCCCCCCAGGCACGAGCUCGAGCUCAUUUUGCCUUUGGGUUUGCCCUGUUUGUUGAGACCCACCUUCUGCCCGAGCUGCUGAAGCCCGAUGGAACUGCGACUUGGAGCUUGGGCCGCCUUCUGCCCAGGCCAAACUAAAGCACUUGAAUUGUUCUAAAUGAAGGUAGUGCAUGUUGUCUGGAGUUAUGCGAGAAUCCAGAAGGAAUUAGUCUUGCAUUCGAAUAUUUCAUAUUUUCUAGGUAUCAUUUGUUUAGUCUAGGAGUCUUAUUAAUAUUUCCUAGUUAUCCUUGUCUUGGAAUGACAAAAGUCACCUAUCUUUGGAGAGUUGUUCCAAGGAGUUACUUCUUUUUAUACUCCCCAUUGUGUUCUGCUAGGACAUUGAGUAUUGAAAUGAAAAGUUAUGUUCUUUUGAACUAUUAUCCUUAAACUCUGUAUCUCUGUAUCUCCUUGGAGGAUUCCAUUGAGUGGUGAGUUCCCUUUACUCUAUGGCCUCGUUUGGUUCAUGAGAAAGGAGACUUGGGAAUGGGAAAUCAAUUACUUUCCUAUGUUUGAUAAGUCUAGGUAUGGGAAAUCGUUGCUUGGCUCAUGAGAAAAUAAAAGGGAAAGUGAAGGCAUCCUCCCAACUUUGGUUUUGUUUUCCCUCCUCAUGGGAAAGUUUGGGAAAAUGAGCUAACAUUAAAUACAUAUUUUUUAUGACCAUUUUAUCCCCAUUAACAAUUUAGAAUUACAAUAUAUCAUUAAAUGCAUUUUUUUAUUUGAUUUAAUAUGGAUAUAAUUAAAAAUUUACACAAACUUUGUUUUCCAUUCCUACUCAAAACAAACAUGGGAAAGAAAAUAAAGUGAUAUUUCCCGGUUACUUUCCCGGUUACUUUCCCAAUAUUAUCAAACGUGGGAAAUGAAUCUUCCAUUCUCAUUCUUUGGGGAAUGAUUUCCCCUCAAAUUCAUUCCAUGAACCAAACAGGGCCUAUAUCCCAAUAUAAACACUUUGGGUGGUGAUUUCUGUAUCCCUUAGGUGUAUGUUGGGUGGUGAGUGUUUCUUUGUGCUUUGAGCCUUUGGUCCCAAGCCAUUUAUCGACCAUAUCUGCACGAGGCCCAACGGACCAUUCCAUUUAAAGCCCAUUUAUUAUAUUAUAAUUGUUUCUAGAUAAUAAUAAUAAUAAUAAUAUUACUAUAUCUAUAUCUUAAAUUUAAGUAUAUUUCCUUUUUCUAAUAAUAGAUUUUAAAAAACAAUGUUUUCUUUAUAAAUAAAAUAAUUAUUUUGUUCUUCAAGUGGAAAUCUUUUAAGCUCGAACAAGAGUCGAGCAAUUUUCUAUCUACAUGUAAUUAAAAAAGAGUCAUUUGUUUCUUUUUCCGAAAAUAAGAAAUCUUAUUAAUAUAUACAUAAUAGUUAAAAAUAUUGAAAUGAAAUUGUCAAAAAAGAAAUUUACAAGACAUGAAAUACAUAAGUCAGGCUUGGUGUGGGCUCAUAUAAGCCCGACCCAUCCCUAUAUGAGUUAGGGCCGCAGACUCGAGCUGGACUUAAUGAUUUUCAUAAGAGUGACUUUGGAAAAAAUCCAAGGAGAGAAAUUUUUUAAAAGAAGCCAAAAUGGACAAAAUUGCCCUGAUUUGUUUUUGAAUUUCCUAAGAAAUCCUUUACAUUUGCAUAUCUUUAGUUUGAAAAUUGAGAGAUUUUUCUAUUCUUUUUUGAAAUUUUUUUCGCUUUUUCCAAAAGUGAAAGUUUUUUUAUGGCUAAAACCUAAAUUUACUUUUUCAUAAAUAGUUGAGUUUUGCCCCUAGUAAGGCCAACUUCAAACUGGCUUGACCCGACCCACUUGACAACUCUACUUGUGGGCAUAUCAUGAGUGUUAUGGAUGCUUGGACAUAAUUGGAAAAUUGUUUGCUACUUAUAUCGGACCAACCUUAUACUCCAGUCUUAGAUGAAGCCUGAAGGGCAAGGUAAGGUCCCUCAAACCAGGAAGGCAUCCUCUAUACAAUCUUUCUUACCAAUUCCCCUUCCCAUAAUUGGAGGAUCAACCCUCAGCCCCGAAAGCAGGCAAUAAGCUUGCUAUUUAUGAGAAUACCACGUAUAUGAUAUGAAAGCCAAUUUUAUGAAGCCUCUUACUUCGUGUAAGAAAGCCAAAUUCUAAAUCUAAGCAGCCAACAAAUUUAUUACAAGUACAACCUUGAAGCUUCGGCCAUUAGCAAGAUCAAGUUGGCUUGCUAGCCAGUGAAGGUGAACUCAAUAAAUUCCUCUCAUAGAGCUAGCUGUUAGCCUGCUACAGAGUUCACUUAGUAGAUGAGGGAAAACUUGAGCAAAUCAUAUAUCCUUGUCAAUUGUCAUUUAUCAACAUACAAAUCAGAAUUAGAACCUCAACAAAAAUAAACUGUCUAACAUCACGACUGAACUCAACAUGAAAUUUACCUCCCGUAGACAACAACCCAACUGAGGGAAUGUCAUAAAAAUUUUCUGAAAAACUAAAGAAUCUUUUCCGAACUGGUAUCGUACAGGUACCUAAAAUUCUUGUGGCUUACAACAUUCUCAUGCUUAUUCAUGUGCCUUGAUAAUGCCAUUAGACGAAAUAGUUUCUUUAGCCAACUGAAAGAUGUUUCGAGAAACAAGCUGCCCAUCUAUCUUACUAUGCCUUUACAACAGGAAUACUCUUCCAGAACUCAAGAAGGGGCCACAAUUAACCUAAUGACUCACUAAACUUAUUACUAAAAACCAAUUAGUAUAAUUUCAGAUUCGUUUCAGUAGAACCCCUUGAAAAUAAAUAAUGAAUGUAUAAGCCUGAAUUGCUCAUUAAUUAUUUCUUUUAUCUGUGAACAAGGCUGAGAAGAAAAGAGACAGAAGAAGAAAUCAUUAAGCAAAAUCUAUAAACAAGAACUAGGAGAAAAAUCAUUCAAAAAGUACAAUGAAGAGAAAGUAACAUCCCGAAAAACAGUAAUUCAUAUUCCAAAACAAAGCUUAAAGAGGGUUAAUGAAUGCAUCAAAAGCAUUGAAAACGAAAUAAUGGAGGCUUAAUUUUAAAUUUAUGAAAAAAAAAAAUAGGUUCUCCAAUUUUCCUGCUAUCCAAAUAUCUCUGACUUUGCAGGGUUGAACAUUCACAUGAAAGAUGAAAUAAUACUUUAGAAUGGGAUGAUAGCAGAACUAAGACUCCGAUCGUAUUCUUAAAAAAUAGACAUACACACUAAAUGUACAUAUUUUAUUUUAUAAAAUUUAAUACAUGGACCUGUUAAUAUACUAAAGACUUUGUGAAUCCCCAGACCUAAAUUUCUAUGCAGCCUUAAACCUCCAGGCAUGAAUAUAAAGAAAAUGAAAAAAAAACAAAAUAUAGGGGGAACAAAAGGGCUCUUUCCCAAAAUAUGUAUUUCAGGCAAGACGCUGCCGCUACAACUUGGUGUAAGAAAAAGAUAGAAAGAAACCUGCCAAGCAGUCAGCCAGCCUUUUGCUUAUUUAAGAUAAUAAGACCUCCUCAACUAGCUACAGGUAACUAAAAUAUUGAAAUAGCAAUCUCGUAUCAUAAUUUCAAAAAUAGCAAAUUAAGUAAACUUUCAAUAUAUUUGAAACAGUUUAACCAAACAAAAGAAUGUUUCCCAUAACAGAGAAUUAACACAAUUCCUCAAAAGGUCAUAAGCUAAGAGGAGUGAUCUUAACGUGAAAACUAAAAACCAUUACAUGGGGAUAGAAUAGAUUGAUGUAAGAAAAGAAAAAGAAACCAAAAAUAGAAAUGAUGGGAGGGAAUAAAGAUAAAACAAAGAUCCAAUAUCAAACUGAUAAUAACAAACAAAAAUCACAAUACAUUAAUAAGCAAAUAAUAUAUUAUAAAAAUGGGGAAAAGGGCAGGAAAUGGGGUGAAACACGAAAGAAUAGUCACUGAAAAAGAAAAAGAAACUGAACAUUAAGGUGAAACUGGAUGUUGUCAAUUCUUACAAAAUAAAGGAUGUCAAAGAUGUGAUGAAUUAAAACAUUAAAAAAAAAACAAAAAAGGAACGUCCACCAAGUUGCUAUCGAGCUUGGCCAAAUUUGAAGUAAUGGACCAUGAGAAAACUAAAAUACAAAGUCUUCCCAAAGAAAAACUUCCCGAAAAAGUGUUCAAUCCAAAGCAAGCUUUAAGAUAAAUAUUCCUUAGAGACGUGAUCAUCCUUCCUGAUGUUCAGCGACACUUACUCUGCAAACAUACAGCCCAAGAAUGUAAUGCCAAGAAACACAACAAUCUCCCUUUCAAAGAAAUUAUCAUCUCUAAAGCAUCAAAACAAUUAAAACUUUAAAUAUUUAAAAAAAAACUGAAAAAUUUGAGAAAAACAUUCAUGCUCAAAGAAGUUAAAACAUAUGUCCAAGUGAUCCCUGUUACAAAAAUUAUGAGCCAUGGCAUCAUGAUGGUAUAAAUACAAGGAUUCAGUGAACAUAAUAUUAGAUUCAAAUGGCAAAAGAAACUAAAGAGAAGGUACACAUUUAAUAUAGUAUAGUAUACCACCAAAAAGAAAAGUGGCUAGUUAAUGUUAGGGUAACCAACUGCACAAGUUUACAAAACAGAUUUCCUAAAUGAAGUUAAAGACAGUAAACACUUUAGCCCGUUUACCAAAAAAAAAAAGAAACAACCAGAAGAAAAUUGAAAAUUGAAAUGGAAAUUAUCCAGGAGUGAAUUAAAAACUUAAAAGACUUUCAAACAUUUUUAUUCAUAGAAUACAAAAUACUAAAGAUACCUUCGUUAGUUAUGAAUAUUAUAAAUAUGUGAAAAGAAAUAUUCAGAGAGAAAAUCAUUUGGGGAAAUUUGGGAAACGCUAUAAAAAAAUGUCAUGAGUCUGACCGAAUAACCCCAAACUUCUGUAUAAAUUCUGUAAUCAUUGCACUAAUAAGUAUCUGAUAUUUAAAAAACAUGUAAGAAAUUCUAAUAAAUCUGAUCAACAAAUAUUGUGCGUGCGUGCAUGUGUGUGUGCAUGAAAAGGUUGGAUUCUUAAAUACAAUGUUAUGUCAUCCUCUGAUGAAAGUACGAGGAUGAUUAUCUCAUUCAAUUUAAUGUAGGAAGAAGAGUCUUUAAGAAUCUUAAAAUCAUAUUUUACUAGAAUUAAAUUAAUCCACAAAUGAGCUCCACGUGUGAAUACACAAAUGCUUAGUUUCAUGUAAUCACAGAAGUUUACAACAAAACAGUACAUCUUAGACUGGUACAGUACUCAAAUGAAUAUAAUUUAGUCCAAAGGUUUGAUAAAAUUCAAACUCAUGAACCCAGCAGAAAAAAGUAAAAUAUAAUAAAAUAAUAGAAAUAAAGAAAGGUUCAUAAUCCAGCUGGAAGCCAGAAAAAAAAGAACCUGACACCACAUAAGUGGGAUAGGAAAUAACUAGCAACAGAAAACCAAACUUCCAAGAAAAGAACUAUCAUGGAAACUGGCGAAGAAGCAACAUGCAAAGCAGCAAGGCUUAUUGCAGAACAAAAACAGUAAACCCUUAGACUUCACAGACUUAACCGCGUGUAAAGAACAUAAACAAUAUGCCUCGGAGACUCAGAAGAAAAAUGACCUUUUGUUUACCAUAACAAACAGUUACAUCUAUUAGUUCUAGAGCCUCUUUUAUGGUAAUCUGUUCUUGGCUAACUCUCUCUAUGCUGAAAUUGAUUAAGCUCACCAAAAUCAUCUACUUUCACCCCAUAACAUAAAAUUUUAAGUACCUUAUCAGUUGGCUAUGUGCAUUCAGGUUUUGUAAAUAAAAAAUUGUUCUUCAGAGACUUAGAAGGAUGAGGCCUUUUUUCUGCAUACCAUAACAAACUGAAACAGUAAUGUCUGUUACCCAACCAUUCUAACCUGUUUUUGGCUUACUUCCUGUAUGCUGAAAUUAUUUAAGCUCACCAAAACUAUCUACUUUCAAUAGAUAACAUACAAAUUCUCAUCUUGAAAUUCACCUUUCAUAACAACCUAUGUAGAUUAUGAAACUCAUAAAAUCUCAGUGAGUUACAUGUAUACAGAAAAAUUGAUUCAGUUCCCACAAAGCAAACACCGGAUAUUUGAGAAAGAGUCAAAAUACAAGUACUUGUAACCAAAUUAGACAUUUUAAAUCCAUAUAAACCAUCGUGCACAAUUUUUUUUACCACUAAACUACCAAAAACUAAAACUGAAUAUGCAUAAAAAGCAAGAUGAAGAAACAUAUGCACGACACUAGGACAUGAGAAAUGUAAUUGCAAUACGGCAUACCACAUAUAUGAUGUAUACCCAGCGAAUGACCCACCAGCCCUCUGAGGCCUACCAGAACCCGGCUGCUGAACCUGCGUAUUUGGGUAAACGUGCUGCAGACCCUGGAGCAUAGGAAGAGACCCACUCGUCCCAUAUGCACCAAGCAAUGAGGGGUUACUCAACCCAUGAGAUCCUCCACCCAAACUGACCAACCCAUGAGACCCUCCACCUAAAUUGACCAACCCAUGAGACCCUCCACUGUACCCACCAACACCAGCACCCACCUGGCCCACUUGGCUUACCGGAAUAACACUUGGGUUCAAUGCCCCUCCCAUUAUACCCGGGUUCAAUGCUCGGGCCACCAUACCCGGGUUGGCAGACCCAGGAACAAACCCACCACCCACAUUGCCCAUUAAUCCACCGUACAAUGGGUUAAGGUUCGGAUGCUGACCGAACAAAGCCAUAUUCUGCGCUGCUGCUACAGCAGCCAGUGUCGGCUGCUGCAUUUGCCCUUGCGGGGGCGCCACAGCUGAGUUCUUGUUCUUCGAACCUUCGGCCGCCUUCUGGCAUUGCAAUUGGUGCCCUUCAAACACCUUGAAGGGUUCUUCAAGAGCCUUCUUCGCACCCUCCACAGUCUUGUACAGGAACAGAGCGAAACCCUUACAUUUUCCGGUCUGCGAAUCGAAACCCAUUGGCCCAGUUUCGAUUUCCCCAAAUUUAGCAAAAAAAAUUCUCAAUUUCUCACCAUCAACAUCAUGCGGCACGCUGCUCACGUAUAUUUUUCUCGAUGCCGAGUCCGAUUGAGCGUUAAAUGACGACGAAGAAGUCGUCGUGUUGUUGUUGGCCGGACCCACCGAGGCCAACUGACAGGAAGCGAUUCUAUUGCUGAUGUUCUUCUUAGGGUUCUUCAACGCCUUGGCGGCUCCACGGCGCGUUUUGAAGAGGACGAAGCCAUAGCCUUUUGCCUUGCCCGUGGCCUUGUCCAACACCAAAUUGCAUUCCUCGAUCUCGCCAAAGGGUUCGAAGGCAGCGACAAGGGUUUCGCGCGUGGUGUCCCAACCGAGGCCGUGGAUGAAGAUCUUUCGAUGCGAAACGUCGCCGUCUGCAGCAUCCCGAAUGCGGUUGAAGAGGGCCGAGUCCUUGGAGGCCGCUUCGACGAUGAGCUCGAUGAGCUGGUCCUUGGUGUAGGCUUGGAGUAGUUCAGGGAGGUUCUCUACGUCGGACUCGGACGAGUCUGAGUCUGAGUCCGAGACGGAACCGGAAUCGGAAUCGGAUUGGGGUUGUUUCUGGUUAGGGUUAGGGUGCUCUUCUUCUCUUUCUUCUUUUUCUUCGAAUUUUUGCUUGGGGUUUUGGGUUUUGGGUUUUUUCUCAAUGGUUUUGUCGGAUGUUUUGAUGAGCCUGCGCUUCUUCGUUUUUGUGAUCUUCGCCAUUGGAGCCACAGCCACCCACAGAGUCAGAGCAGGGAAGAGCAAAGCAGGGUUUUUUUUUGGGCUCGGAAGAAGACUGCGAACGACGUUACUGCUGUGUUGUGUGCGUUUUGAAAGGUACAAUGAAUCCCUCGGUUUUUAGAAUACAAAAGGCGUUUUGAAAGGUACAAUUAUCAGUCAAUAGGCUUCUCCAACCCAUGAGGGUUCCCCUCUAAAAAGUAACUAUUUGAGUUUGGUUCCGGAUUCAAAUUGUUUUUUCUCUCAACCUUCCGGAUUCAAAUUUUAAAUUCACAACUUUAUUAAAUUAUUUAAAAAUUAUUGAAGUCGAAUUUUUUUUUUAAACAUAACUUUUCUUCAUUCAAUUUUUUUAAAUAACUUCAUAAUUAAAUUUUUUGAACCAUUUCACCUAAAAAAAUUAAAAAUUCCACAAAUAUAAUUUGACCUAGAUUAAUUUAAAAUAUUAUUUUGACUAUUGGAUUUAAAUUUCAGCAGUUGGAUCUUUUUUUUAUCAUUAAAAUAGUUUAGAUUUAAUCUAGAUCAUUGAUUUAAGUUACAUUUAGAUUUUUUUUUUUUUACAAAAAAAAAAACCAAAUUCAUUUGUACAAGCAGACAAACAGCAACUUGACAAGUGGCUGGACAAGCAGCCAAACAGCAACAGUCCAGCAGGUUAGCUGGGGCCCACGUCAGAUGUUGUGCACAUGGGGCUGUUUAAGGUGCAGUGGGCUCCAUUGAAUAGUGUUGGGUCCAAGCAAUACUUGGACCUAGGUCCAAAUUUGGGUUUUUUUAAAUUUUGGAUCCUUCAUUUUCUUGGAUUGAGAGAGGUUUUGGGCAAUAUUUUGGGCUUAGGUCCUUGGGUUAGAGAUGGCCUUAUGGUUCGUCUUUUUGGGUUUGAGCCAGGCUCAGCCUGAUUCACAGGAUUUAGAGCUAGUUUAGCAUUGUUGUGCUAUUAAAAUAAUCAUUGUCAGAUUUGCUAUGAGAAAAAUCAGCUAUGAGAAAAGUAGUUUAGCGUUUGGUAAACUUUUUAUUAUAAGUGUUGUUUGUACAAUAAUCAGUUGUUGAGUAUUUGGUAAAUUUUUUGUGUAAAAGUGAUGUUAGCUGUGUAUAAUGACUAAAAAUGUCAUUAUGUUGAAAAGACUUUUCUGUUUAAGUGUUUGGUAAAAGGAAAAGCACUUUUACUUUAUCUUAUAUAUAUUUUUUGUAUUAAAUAUGUUUCCAUCACACUCUAAAAUGUAUUUUAAUUAUAAAAUAAAUAAAAUAUUUCAUUAAAAAUAAAUAUAUUGUCAAUAAUAUGGUCAUAACAAAAAUUAAGUUAGUCAUAAACAAACAAUCAUAUACAUUUUAAAGUAGAUAAACUCAUUAAACUUGCGGCUAUAUGAUUUCUCAAUGCCUCUAUUUCUUGUGUUACAAGACCAUCUUAUUGUUGUGCAUCAACCUAUGUCUCAAUCUCAUCACCUUGAAUACUAUUUAGGUCGUCUUCACUUUCAUCAAAAUGACAAUCACAUUUGGCAUGUCUUUUUAUAUAGUUAUGAAGUGUCAUGGUUGCAAUAACUAUUUUUACUUGUUUUGCAAAAGGAUAACUAGGCAUGUCUCCUAAAAUACUCCAUCUCUUUUUCCAUUCUCCAAAAGUGUGUUCAAUAACACUUUUAAGGGAAGAGUGUGCAUAAUUGAAUACCUCUUUAUGACCCAUCGGUUGAACACCCCUGUGAAAAUCAGGAAGAUGAUAUCUUUUGCCUUUAUAUGGUCCUUAGUAGCCUCUCAUUUGUGGGUAUCCCGUAUCUACUAGAUAAUAUUUUCCUAAAAAGAAAAUUUAAUUCAUUAUUCACAAUGUAAAAAACAUAAAUAUAAAUUAUGUGAAUUUAAAAAAAAUAGAAAUAGUACCAUUUGGAGGUUUUGGAAAAUUCAAACUUUCAUCACAUAAAGCUGAUAGAAUUAUCCUUGUGCCAUGGAUUGUGUCUUCUUGUAACACCUCGUCCCAAAAAUCACUGUACAAUUGAUUAUUUAUUGUGAAUUUAUAUUUUUGCCCUUGGAUGUAGGACACUUUAGCCACUUUUUGUUCGAGAAUGAAUUUGGGGAAUUGAGUGACACCGUUGCUUAGAGCUCGCCGAUACAAGUUCAUAGAUAGGCGGCAGGUUCAAUUCAGAGUUAAAACAAAGAAGUUAUGAUAUACAGAAGUGUAGUGGCACAACCGUAAUUUUUACGAAGUCAGAUUUUAAAAAGCUGGACAGCUUCUCUCUCACUCUUUGUCCUUCGUGAAAACAGACUGGCCACUUUGGCCGGUGUUUUCUCCUUCGUCCGGCGACGCCACAACUCACAAAACGUUCGUCUCUUCCUCCUCUUCACGUCCAUAUCCAUUUUUACCUUCGAAACUCCAAGAUUGGUCGCGAUUUUGGACUGGAACCGAGCGAAAUUCUCGUUCGUCACUCGACGAAGUUAUGCUAUUUCAGGUGAUUUCGACUGCCAAAUUCAUCGAGUGAGGUAUGAAAAUCCAUCCCUUCAUCAUGUUCUGCCUGUUUAUGUAAUUAGAUUGGAUCGAUUUUGAGGUUUUACAUAUCGAUUCUUAAACCUAUUUUUUGGCCAAUGGUUUCGACUUUGUUCCGGCUAGUUCCGGUCAAUUUUGGCGAUGGUUUAAGAACCAAAAAUGUUCCCCUAGGUGUACUUGAUCUAUUGGUAUUGGCAUUGUAUGGUGUUUUGACAAAUUUACGUCGCUGAAAAUUUCUCAAGACACCCACGAGCUGCCAGCGGUGGGUGGCAGCGGGUGGGCUACUGUGUGUGUGGCUUAUUGUGUUCUAAAUUGUUCCCUUUUGUCCUGAGUACGAUGGUAUACUCGAAUUUGAAAUUGGUUAUCAUUUGACAGUCGAACGGAUAUUGCACCUAUUAUGCAAUAUCCGGGUUCGAUAGGUUCGAACCGUUCAAUUGGUCCCAAUUUCAAAUAUGUUGUUCUCUGUACCUCUAGAAUCGUGUAGGAACUUGUUGAUCGAGAUUCAGAAUCCCAGAUACUCCUAGUCUAUGAUUCCAAGGUUAGGCGAACUAAUCAUUGUCCGAUUGGCUUAGAUUCGAUUGCUCGAUCGAGAUCAAAGUUUCGAGACUUGUUUAGUAGACUUGAUUGGACCUAUAGGAACUUUCAUAUCAGAAAUCAGAGGUCGUGGACCCCACAGGCCUAAUUGACCUAGAUGGUAGGCCUCGUUAGCCCAAUUGAGAGCUUUUCGUUAUGAGGUGUUUGUGGUCUAUUUGUUUGAGUUUAAAUUGGUAUUUUGCUAUGAGAGUUGUAUUAACUGUUUAUGAAUUAUUGUUCUAUACUGUUUAUGAAUUAUUGUUCUAUCGCUUUUAUUUUCCAAGCAUGUUAUACCUAUGUUUAUUUUUAUACAUGUGUUAAAUGGAUUAAUAAUUGGAUUGUGUUGCCUUUGGAAAUAUUAAUGUCUACGGACAUCUUGGUUGCCUUCGAAAAUGUUGUUGCCUCUGGAAAUAUUGAUGUCUUCGGACAUACAGUUGUCUUCUGAUAUAUGGUUGACUUCGGAAUAUUUUCGGACGUAUGGUUGCCUUCGGAUUGUCUUCAGACACCUUAGUAGCUUUCGGAUUUGUCUACAUGCAUAUGACAUUGCCCCACGAGUAUUGGAGACGCCCGAACAGUGUGGUGCCAUGUUACGCCCCGAUUUAAGAAUAGCGAUUAUCUCCGAAUUAAGGCUUGAAUCAUACCACAAUUAUAGAAACAAACUCCUAUAACUAUGAUAUGAUAAAAAUAGAGUCAAUAAUAUUACAAACUUAUUUAAUAAAAACAAAGUCAUAGUCGCAGUAACUCAUAGUUAGUUACACACACUAGCGUAAUAUUCCAACUAUUUAUUACAAACAGUAACUAACAACACUGAUCUAGUCCUCUAGUGGAACUUCUCAUUCCUCAGGAUUUGCAUUGGAACCUGCAUCAUCUAUUAGGGUGUGAGCAUUUUAAUGCCCAAUAAGGUACUGUAACAUCCUCCCUCAAAGCUAGCUAUCACUGCUAAUCAAAGUGGCAUGCAUUAAACAAUUACCUAAUAAAUGUGUUAUGCAUAUGCGAUGAUUUCAUGAACUCACUCCAUUCUAAACCCACUAAUUCAUACUUUAGGGCAUCAAACAUGCAUGUCCCAUACCAUGCAUUUUACCACUGUGGCUCCGAAUACCCUAAAAUAUAAAUUAGUACCCCUCUGUCCCUUACCCCAUAUAUAUUUUGUUUACGAAUUUCUCAACUUUCACUUUUCACUAGAGGCCCUACUUCCAUCACCUCAAUAUAUUCAAGCCCUACUCCUGUCAUUUGAAUAUAUUCCACAUUUUUUUAUACUCAGAUAUAUCUGAAGCCUUCUCCCACCCCUUAGAUAUACCUUAAACAACACACAAACCCAACACAACUGUAUUUAUGAUCCAUAUGUAAUGCAACUCAAACAUUCAUUAAUCUUUGCGGAAUGAUAAUAAUUCAAAUAAAAAUAAUAAUAUUUCAAAUUUAAUCACAUGGAUAGUAAUAUUCAUCCAACAUCAUAUAAUAUUCAAUAAACAUUCAUAAAACAAUAACAAUAGUAUUCACCUAACAAUACCCACCAAGCAAAACAACAAAAUAUUCAUAUUUAGUACUAUAUAUAAACAUCACGAUUAAAAGUGAUAUAGUCUAAUCAUUGGGGAAAAAGUUAGAGACCCUACCUCGUGUCCAAGAAGCUAAAAUGACAAAAUUACCCUUUGGAGGUUGCCAAGUUCUCUCCCGUUCCUAGAUUUGAAAAAAGAAAUAACAUAAAUGAGGUUAGAAUUUUUAAUUUUAUAAAAACACUUUUUCUCUUGACAUAGAGAGAGUGCACCCCACUCUCCAAGCUAAAACCCUCGAAAUGACCUGAAACCUAUACCAUCAUACUCGGAUUAAAAAAUCAAGCCGGAUUGACUAAAUAUAUGGUGUCGGAGGCUGUCGAAACAGCCGCCACUCGCUGAGUCGAGAGUGGGGUUGGCUUGCGGUUAUUGUUCAUCCUCUCCAGAAAUUCUGCAAAUUUUCCCUUUUUUUUAAGACCAAAAUCUAGAUUCUGUGAGACAUUUUUACUAACCAAAUGUUAACUAAAUUGGGAAAACUUACAAUGGUUUUGAAGCUUAAUACCUCUAGUUUCUAACACAAUAAACCACACUAAAAACGGAGCUAAAGCGAAGGAGAAAACCAGCUCCAAAGUUGGACUUGUGGCUGGUUUUCUACAGAUAACAUAUUUUUGUCCAAAUUUUGUGUUAGAUAAAAAAUGUAAUGAAGAAAUUAAAAUUCACCCAACAUAAUCUCACUCUUAUUUACAAAUAAGAGUUUUUAUUUUUAAUUGAGUAUGACCCAUUCAAGAUAAAAAUAUCUCUUAAUUAUAAUCUCUUUGGAAAGAGAAAACCCUUUGAUUCCAAUGUAAAGAGUGAAAUAAAUAAUGGAAUUUGAUGUUACGGCUGCAUCCAGGGAACUCUAGACUGCCUACAUAUACCCCAUUUUGGGGAUCAAGCCUUUUGUAGUUCUCGAGAGAAUUUGAUUGGACUUUCAAGGAAUGAAUGACUCCUUGAAAGAAUUUGUGGUAUGAGAAAUAUUUUAUGGAAUUUGGAUGAAUGUGGUUGGACCAGGGAUUCAAUUUGAUUUGUGGAUGAAAAAGUGUUUGGGCGAAUUUGGUUAAGGUGCACCAGAGAUUCUGUUUGGGCUUGAGGUUGUAUUUGGAUUGAAUUUUCAAAUUGCCUACGUAUCCUUAGUGGAAUCAAACCGGACGUAGUUCUUUGAAAAUUUGAUUGGACUUUCAAAGACUGAAUGACCCCUUGAAAGAAUUUUAUGUUUGAGAGAUUUGAAUUUGAUCUCAUCGAAAUUUGCAUGGUAGAUGACCCAUGAGAAAAUUUGGAAUGGUUUUGUACCAUUUUUUAUUGUUAAUGUCCAAAGAAAAUUAAAAGGCAUUUUAAUGAACCCAUUAAUUUACUCACAUAUGGUUUUAAAAAUUUAAGAAAAUUGAUCCAUUAACCACAUAAUUUAUUUGGACCACCCAUCAAGUAUUUUGGCUUUUGAGAGUUAAUGGGUAAUUUGUUUUGUCAACCCAUCAAUUUGUUUUCGGACCUUAACAUUUCCAUUAAUUGGCCCAUAAUAAAAAAAGUCCAGGUCAGAAAAGCUUUGAGAGCCAGCUGCAUUUGAAACCGAUAUCUAUUUGGAGUAGUAGAGAUCAAUCUAAACUGAGUCACUCCCAUCUUUAUAUGUAGUAGUUCAAAUCAAUUUAAACUGGACCAAAUUAUAUAUCUCUUCGACUACUCAUCUGCCACAAUCAAUACGGAGCCUUCGGUUUGAGACGCCAAAACCAAGGCAAGACCUUUCCUUUGCUCAUGUCUGUCAAACUUGGGCUACAUAAACCAUUAAAAUAUUAAUUGGAAGUAUUGGGAACUUAAAGGCAGACUUAGACUGCAUAACCCAUUACAAUAUUAAUUGGAAGUAUGGGAGCUUAACGGCAACAAUGUCUGUUUAUUAAAGUACAUAGGUACUUUUCCUUUUCUUUGUCCUUUUUUUUUGCUUUUUCUUCUUUGUUUUAUUUUUUUUUUGUUUCUUUCAGUAAUACGAAACUCCCUUUUUUUGUUGCUUUCUUCUUCAAUCUUGGGCAUGGGAGGAGAGCUUACUUUGAGCAAUGAGUUUCUUGAUUUUUUUUGGUCUAAAGACCAAAUUUUGGUUUGAAGAAAAGUUGCUGGCAGCAAGCUGUGCAUCCAUUUAGCUUUGGCAAGUCUUUCUUCUUCUCUCUUUGGUUUGUGUCUGUGUUUGUUGCCUUUGAACACCUGCAUGAUUUUCAUCAAGUAUGCCUAUGAACACCUUCAAGGUGCUCAUAGCACUUAAUACAAUGGGGUUCUGGCAGAAGCCCAUAUGCAUAUUUUCACAAUAGGGAGGUCCUUGCGAGGGCUCCUUCUUGUGUGAUUUCUUGAGAUUUCUCUAAUAGUAGAGACAUGGUUUCUUCAGUUAUUUUUCAAGAAUGAUGAAUUUCUUUUGCCUGCAGUAGUCUCAUGAGACUUCUUUGACAGCAGAGACAUGGACGAAUUUCGCAGCGCACAUUCUCAAAGCCUUUAUGGCAAACAGCAUUGGAAGGGGACUUUGAACUUUGAUAGGAAAUCUGUCAUCAAUUUGGUGCCCUAUGACUGUUAUUUUAAAGGUCGACUUCUGUGGGAUGCUCAGGAAACGUCAUUUACAGAGGCUUGUUUAAUUAAACUUUACAUAAGAUGUUUGAGUUUUGAGCAGCAAGGGAAUAUACUGCACAGAGAAACAUGAUGAAAUUUCCUGGCAAAAGAAAUAAACUUUAUACCUUCCCUUUCUUCUACCCUUUUCUUUGUCUUCCUCCUUAAUCAGAAUCCCAGCAGCCUCUUCGUUUUCUCUCUGGUCUUCUGCCUUCUUUCCUCCAGCAGCUUUUACUUUUGUCUCCUUUAGACUUCUCACCCCUGCUUUCUUUACUUUUUUGCCUCUGUUUCUGCCUCCCCUUUUUUCUUUGGUUCAUGUCUUUUUAUAGGCAAAUAGGUGAGUGGCAGUUGAGGGAGACUGUUUCUUCUCAGAUUGUGCCAUCGUUUUGAUAAGUGGAGUGGUGGGAGAUAAACUGCUCCAUGCACGAUCUCACCUUGACAUUCUAUUUUAUUUCUUUUAAUUUCUUUUGAGAGUGGGGCUGUAAUGGGAAUUUUUUCUUAGAGAUAAAUAUAUGGGAUUUUAUCUCUAGGCACGUCAUUUUGUUGUUGAGUUCUUCAUUUUGGGCCUCGCUUGAUUUAGAAUUGAUUUGUUAUAGCCCAAAUGCCUAUCCAAAUUAAUCUGAUAGGUAUGAAAUUUUUUAUUUCAACAUUUUGCACUAGUGUUUGACGUAUCAAACUUCAACAAAAUUCAAUGAAACCAAUUGUAUUUUGUUCCUUGCCAUGUCUAGUUUAAAUUCCAAUAAAUGACUUUCUCAAGUAAUCAAAGUAUUGGGAGAAAAAAAGAGCCAAAAUGAGGCUCGUGGGCUGAAAAUUUCUAGAAAAUUACAUUUUUCAGAUUUUGUUCUAAGUUGUUUUCAACCAUUCUAUCACCCCCAGGUUGUUCCUAAGGCUUCGUAAAACUCAAAAUGAAACCAAAAUCAUCAACACCCACAAUUGAAAAAUUGCUCUAUCCACCCAACUGAAAAUGGAAGUUCAAACUCUUCCAAUUCAAUUUCCCCAACACUCAAGUGACUCAAAUUACUCUUUAAGGGACUAAAAUCAUACAACCACAAAGUUAAAAACAAAAAAUUCGAAAUUGACUCACCUUAGAGUUUUUUUUCUUCUCUUUCUCCUAUUCUACCUUCUCUUCCUCACCCAAAUUCCAUCUCCUUCAUCCUACAAUCUUAUCUUAGUUCAAGCAAUUAUUACCCUUAGCCUAGACUAGGUGAUUCAUCUAUAAUAGGUGAACAACUCACCCUAAUUUGAGAUCAAUAUCAGAUUUUGAAGGGAAUGUAUAAGGGAAAAGGGGAAGAAUGAAGGGAAGAACAUGGUUUUGCUUACACGUUGCAAUUUUUUUUUUUAAACAUUUAAAAUCUCAUAAUUAAGGUUAAAUAAAUAAAUAAAUAUAUAUAUUUUAAAAUAAAUUUAAUAUAUAAAUUUUUUCCUAGAUGUUACAUGUCAGGAUUUGCGUUCUCAGGUUGAGUAUAUCUCCCUGAAUUAUGCGAGGGGAAUUGAUGGAUUAUUUGCGUUUCAUGUUAAGUAUAUCUCCCUACGAGGAUUUCGUUAUCAAGUUGAGUAUAUCUCCCUGAGUUUUGUGAGGAAUGCGUCACAGGCCGACCAUGUGUUCCUUAAGUUAUGAGAGGAUUGCGUCUCGGGCUGACUUUGUGUCCCUCAAGUUAUGCGAGGAUAUAUCACACAUGUGUGGUACUUGGAAUUGACGGUAUAUUAUUGAAAUUGAUGGAUUAUAUUUGAGGUACAUCUAUGUGGAGAAUACUGUAGCACCAAUGUGUGGUAUAGUUAACAAGAUAUUCUUCACCACCCUACUCAUAUUAUCUGCACAGGGUUGGCCAGGAUUCCUAUCCACCUGCCUAAUUUGUCUACACAGGUAGUUAGCUUGUUUCCCCUUCUCAUGUUGCCUUCGGAUUUGAUGGUAUUCCCAUAUACUCCUUGGUGGGUGAUUACAGUAUAUAUACACUAUGCGGAUGGUUGCAAUUAUGGCUUUCUGGUAAAAGGUUUGGUUAUGUAAGUAUUUGAAUGUACAAUGAUAAGCUAAUUGAAUAGUUAGGUACAUAAUUUCCAGGCAUGAUAUUCAAUUAUACAACUUGUUGAAAUAAAAGUAAAGAAUGAUUCUAGAUUUUAUUGUUGGUUUCUUGAACAAUAUUAUAUUAGCUGAAUUGUGAUUCAUGGUAGAAAGAACUACGUUUGGCUUGAUCCCUCAGUAAGGGUAUGUAGGCAACCUAGGCUAUAGAAGCAGCCACAAGUUUAUGAUUUGUUUGUUAUGUUCAGUUUUGUAACGUUGAUUUUGCUUACUUUAUUAUGUUGGAAAACGGGGGCCUAAAGCCCAUUAAAACUUUUGCUAAUUGAUGUGUGGUUUAUACCUUGUGCUUGCUGAACGCUUAGGAAAUAAUUGUGUUUGUUGUGCAAGUAGAUUUUUGGGUUUUGAGCCUUUUUCAGAGGAGACUCUGCCAGUUUUUAGGAUGGUCACUCGUGCCUGACACUUGCCAGGUGUUGGACACGCACUAAAGUGGAAUUUGGGUCGGGUCUUGUGACUUCCCAUCCGGCGCAUGUAAAUAUAAAUUGCAUGUAACCAUCACAUUUUGGGUAGGUAUCCCCUUUCUACCAAUAAAUGGUAUUUGAUUAUAAGGAGAUAUUGUGGCUUGAAUAUGAACAUCAUCUAUAGAACCAAUACAAUCCUACAAGUGAUAAAAAAGACAAACAUAAUAUUAAUUAUAACAAAAUAAAAUAUAGACAAAUAUUUAAGAGUAGUAGAUGCAAUAGUAUAGAAUCUUGUAGAAUUUCUUUUGGAGUGUUGUUAAACGCAUUUUCUAAUGGUUUAAUUACAUCCGCAAUUAAACGACAUACAACAUCAAGUAGGAUACUAAAAUAUAUGCUCACAGUCUCACUAGAAUGUUGAAAACAAUCUUAUGCUUGCCUAUUUGCACAACCAUGUCCUAAGAUGUUCAAGAACAUCCCUAACAUCUCUGCAUCACUCAUUCUUCUUGAACCUUUUAACCCAUAAUUGUUUUGCAAUUCAUCACACAAUUUUAUAAAUACAUCUUUUUCCAUCCUAAACAUAUUAUAGCAACGACUUUCAAUUCCUUGUAACACUUCUGUCAACCAAAUAUUUCUUGUAUGAUGGUCAUUCAUACACGGGGUCUUAUGAAUAUAUUUCACAUAAUAAAGUUCAAUAAAACGGACAGUGACGCAUAUAAUUUAGUUGAUCUCCUCCUCAUCUUCUGGAAUAGACAUGUUCUAAAAUAACAUGCAAAUGUGUUUAUUUCCUUCAAAUAUCAUUUUCACUGUGCAUGCAUGUUUAUAUAACAUAAAAUAUGACAAUAAUUAACAUAUCACUCACAAAUUCAAAUAAAUUAACAACACAACAGCAAAACAUAAAUUAAAGUCACCAAACUAUCAAAUUCUAGCAUUCAGCUAACUCAUGAUUAAGAAAUUGAAGCUUGAGGUCAGGAUCUUCCAUGACAACAAACAUCUCUAUCUUAUCUUGAGCACAAAACAACUUAGUUGCAAACCACCACAACUUGCUACCACACUCUGUCCCAGGUAAAGUUGCAACAUCAUUCAUCACUUCAGCAAUACUAGUUCCUUGUGAAACUGUAUUAGCCAUUGAUGUUCCAGUACUCAUACUCUUAACCACCUUAACAAGACGUUCAAUUGCAAUGAUAAUUUUGCAACACCUCUCAUUUUCUCCCAUAAUUUACCUUUCUUCUAAUUAUUAUCUUGAAUUUCAAGUGAUUGAUUAGUUCUCUUUCUUGGCACAUUGUUUGUAGUUUGAGUGGUUUCAAUUGGUAAUUCGAAUCAUCGUUAACUUCAAGUGGAUUGACAUAAUCAUCACUUUAAAUUAGAAGUACACCAAAUAAAGGUGCCCAAGAAUGCUUACCAGUGGUUGUGACGUUCAAAAACAUCAUAUCUAACUUCUCCUCCAUCUCAGGACUAAUACCCUCAAGUUGGAAUAUUGCAUAUUUGGAUUAUGCUUGCAUUAUGACACAUACAAAUAUUAUAAUGAAUUUUUAAACAUAGUUAUAAAAAAAAAAAAAGGAUUAAUUUUUCUCCCCCAUUACCACCACUUGCACCACCUCUCCCUUGCAACCUCCACCUCCACCCUCCCCACAACCCCGACUUCCACCAAGCCACCUCUCCCAUCACCGCAACUCUCCCUCGCAUCCCCCACCCUCCCUACACCAAGCCACCCCUCCCUCCACCACAACUCUCUCUCUCUCUCUCUCUCUCUCUCUCUCUCUCUCUCUCGCUCUCUCUCUCUCUCUCUCUCUCCAGCACCCACAAUUUCGAGCCCACCAUUAUUCCCUAACCCAAAAAAUCAGAAAAACAAAGGCACACUUUUAAUUCCAAUUCCAAUCCGAUCAAACCCCAAAACUCACCCAAAAGAAAAAAAAUUGUAUUUUCAGGAGCUGAGACUUUAGAAAAAAUGUCGGAGAUGGCAAAGAAAGUCCCUUCUCACCCACCCGCUCCCACAUCCCCACGCUCCCUUCUCUGCCGCCCUCAAUCCCUUCUCACGUGUCGACUUCGCCGCCAAUAUCUGGAUCUGCCCUUUCAGCAACUAUCGCAAUUACUUCCUGCGUGUCGACAUUACCGUGAUCAUUCUAUACAUCAAAAAAUGAAAUUUGUCAGUAACAAGAAGCUCCAUUUAGAACUGAAGAACAACCAAACUUACUAUUAAUGAAGUAGGUACUACUAAUAUUCAUUCUUGAGCAAAUGUAAUAAAAAAAAUAUAAAAAAUAUAAAUAAAAAAAAAGGAGUGAGAAAGGCAUAGAUUAAAUAACAACAUUUUUAAUUAGCAGAAUGCUGAAAAUAUAACAUGUGCAUAAAUACAAUUUUGUCAAAUGGAAGGAAAAGCGCAGUACUAGCUUGCAUGGUGGAAAAAAAAAUAUUUUAAAAUAGAAACAAAAGAAGAAAAUGAUAAUUUAUUCAUAACCCAUCUACACUUCCAAUAUGAAUGAACAUCCAUGGAAACUUUAGAAGCUAUUCACCUUUGGCACAAUCCUAUUAACAGCGUCAGGUUGAUCCAAGGGUUCAAGUUGCCACUUGCCAUAAAGUUCGAUAGUUCAUUUUGAAUUGCCCCCAACAUUAUUAUCAGAUUUAGGGUCCUGUACUUUGUGGGUUCUACCCUCAGUACAUAACCCUCCAGUAUGUCGUGUCGGUCGAUUCAGCUACCCCUCAAUCUUUGCCAUCGUCGAUCUUCGUCUUCGUGCUCAACACAUGUAUGAUCGAGGAGAAGAGAGUAAUUUUGGGUGUUGGAGGUGAGAGAGAGAGAGAGAAGAAGAAGAAGAAGAAAUCUCGGGGGGAGGAGGGUGGGGGGAGAGAAAUAAGGAGGAAUGAAGGGGGUUGCGGGCUGGGAUGGAGGGUGGUUGUGGGAUGGGUUUGGGGGUUGGAGCUUGCGGGUGGUGGUCAUGGGUGAAUAGAGGGAGAAGAAAUCAACGGGGAAGAGGGAGAGCAUAGAGAGGAGAGUUUUAUUUUUUUAUUCAUAUUUUAAUCAAUUUAAAAUUUAAAAAAUAAAUAAUGUGGGACCCAUAAUGUCAUGUAGGCAAUUAACGGAGAGAUCUGACGGGAACCCUAACGACAGAACCACAUUGUAACAAAUUUAAAAGACCAAGGUAUGUGAUUGUUAAAAUUGAAAAGACAAGGACUAACAUGCCUUAAGGGUAUAACCAUAGGGUACUAAACUAUAAUUAACUCUAAAAAAAAAAAAUGGAUAUCAAUACUAUAUUAAAACAAGAACAAAAAAUUCAAAUAUCUGAAUUUUAUCUUACCACCAUUCCUCAGAUGCAUCAAUAGUAUUCUUAGCGACAUUCUACCCAAGACCAGUUUCCUUCCUUUUUAUAUCUUUCCAUAAUUUCCAUUCUUUUUUUUAAAAACAUAGUAAAUCUCACUUGUUUUUCAAUUGUAAUUUUUCAUAUGAUCUUCCUAUCUCUUUGCUAAUAUUUGUAACCAACCUUGCCUAUCCAACUUUAUUAAAGUGAGUACUGAGACGAUUGCAUAGAUCCACCUCUAUGAUACAAAGGUCAAUGAAGAUAGCUAUAGUUUGAGAAUUCCACAAUGCUGACAAUUUUUGGGAUCUACUUGCAAUGUUUUUAGUUGUGAUGAAGUUACUAUUCUUUUUUGCCAUCUUAGUGCAACAAAGACAUUAUAUAUAAGCACAAAAUAAAAUAAUAGAUUUACAAGCGAAUUACAAUUCCUUAUAUGAGUUACAAUUGUUAGAGUUUUUAUAGGAAAAAUACACUUGCAUUUAGUCCCACAUUGGAAGGGAGUUGUUUCCUUCCAUGGUGUAUAAGCACCAACACUUUAGGGGCUCGUUUGGUACGUCGGACUGUACUGACUAAUUUUUGUCGGAUAGUAUUAAUUUGUUCCGGAGAGUACUGACUAUUUAUCCAUAAUAUUAUAAGGCGUUUGGUGCUGUUCCGGAUAAAUAGUCAGAGUAAGUUAUACUGUGUUUGGUGAUGUUCCGGAUAACAUCAGAUCAGACUAUUUUUAAAAUAAAAAAAAAUUUCUUUGAUAAUUUUAAUGAAAAUUGAGAUUCAAAUGACACAAAUUUUUUUUGGUAAGAUUCAUAUGACAAGAUUUGUUUUUCAAUUGUUUUUGCCAAUAUUUUUUUUCUUCAUAUAACCCAUUUAUCAUAAUUGUAGUAUCUCAUAAAAAUUCCAACAUAUUCGCAUACGUUAAUAAAAACAGUACCAAAUAAUGUAUAAUUCAAAGUGAUCACAUACUAAGGUGAUAAGAGUAAAAGGGAAAGUUGUUCAUAAACCAAACUACAUCAAAGAGUGAAUCACAGCACCCUCGUCCCAAGUAAGAGAAGAACAAAUGCUUUUCUCAUAGCACCAUCCAAUGUCAAGAAUGUUCUCUCAUCACUUGCUUUCUCCAAAAUUAGCCGUAGUGCCUUAAUUUGGUCAUUAAUAGACAAGUCCAUCUUUGCCAAUUCAGCAGCAAUGUCAGGUCUUGGUUCUGAUCCUUUCACCAAACUAUUAGUUAUAGUUUUCAAUUGGUCAAUAUACUCAGAAAUCAUCUCACCAAAUGCUUUAGCCAUUUCCUUUCGAAUAUCAAUAUCUGCUACUCAUUGUACGAUUCUUCACAUGAUGUGCUAGUGUAUGUAAAAACAUACACACUUGCUCUUCUAUGAUUACUAAACCAUUUGUUCUCACUCUCGCAUCAUCACAGACCAAUUGACAUAAAUAAUGGAAAGUUCUCCUAUCCAUCCUAAUUUGAUUCACACAUUGUAUGUCAUUAAUUCCUAUAAUAUUAUCUAAAUAAUUUGACCGAGUUGCAAUCCCGAAAAACCUUUGACUCCUACUGGCAUUCCGUUGUUGGCGUCGUUGUUCCAAAUUGUAGUUUGUCAUGAAUCACAUCAUGCACCAAACCAUGAUAUGCAAGAACCACAAUCUAAUAAUAAAGUAUACCACAAUCUUUCUUUCAUCCAUAUCUAGGCAUAAUCUAAAGGAAAUUUUUUCAGUAAAAGUAAUAUAAAUAACCAUGCAUUAAUUUUAGCAAUAUAAAUAAUCAUGUACAACAAGAAGGAGAAAGUAGCAGCAGAACAGAAGCAUUGCAAUCAAAAGAGCCAAGGCCACAAGCUUGGGAAUCGUAAAAAAAUGGAUAUCAACAUUGCAAUGUUGGUUUUUAUAAAGAGAGCCUCCUCUUACUUUUUUUUUUUCGAUUUAGCUUUCAUUUAUGUAAGUAAGCAUAACCUAAUUUCAAAAACGAAAAAUACAUAACCUAAUUCCACAAAAAUUUAAUAAAAAAAUUGAAAUAUAUACAGAAUAGAGAAGAAGCAAGAAGAAGCAUAUUGGAGAGAGAGAGAGAGAGAGAGAGAGAGAGAGAGAGAGAGUGAGUGAGAAUGAGAGAUGGAUAUCUGGAGAAGAGUGAAGAAAAUAACCUUUGGAGAAGAUAGCAGAGAAAAACCUUAGAGAGAAGAAGAUGAAAAGAGCGUUUAAUUUUUUUUCGUAGAAUGCGUGCUUAGCUGUAUAAUUAAGCGUGUAUUAUCUAAACCGGAGUGUGUGGAUUGUAUUAGUUAGUCAGGUAAGGAGAGUAUUAAAAGCCCAACCCGUAUAAAAUAGUCAGGUAAUUAAAUAAUACAAGUUGACACCAAACACUUGACAUAGACUAUUUACUCCUAUCCAGAGUCUAAUACGGUGUACCAAACGAGCCCUAGAAACACAAAAUAGAGUAUGGGCCUAGUAGAGGCAAAGUUGGGCCUCAUCUAUUAGCACUGGGAAACCUGGUGGAUAAAUACCUUUCUCGAGCCAAGCACGAAACAGACAAUCUAGAGGAGCAUAUUAGAGAAGGAUCGCUGGACCUUGCAAGGAUGUCAAAUUCAGAGUUUCUAUCGAGGAUAGAGACUAGUCAAGCUCCAACGUUGUUUAAAUGACAUGAGAAGAAAUUGCAUGUUUGUCUUGUAUGAAUGAGUCAAUUGGAACCUCAUAUCAGAAACAGGAAGCCGAAGGAUAACAUCGGCUAACUCUUGGCUGCCAUUCACUUCCCAAUUGAGAUGGGGGAGAGAAUGUUGUUUCUUCAUUCCCAAUGGCCUAAUUUUCCACAUAUGUAGCAUAAGUCAAUAAGUCCCUCGUAAAAAUAUUCCACCCAGACGGAUUGGUAAAAAAAUAUUGGAAGCUAGAACUGCGUCGGAAAAGGCUUGAGGGAAUCAAUGACAACCUUCACUCUGAGAUAUCCCCUCAGGAUAGCCUUGCAAGUCAUGUGAUCUUCCACAUCAAUAACCUUCCUAAUCUUGUCCCAAUCAUCUUUGCAUUUGCCAAGUUCAUCUUUUCAAGAGUAAGAGUUGAAACUUGAACCCAAUAGGGUACCAAAUGGUCUUGGACUUCCUCAAUCGUGAGGUUUGAAGACCAGACCACCACAUUGAAGCAAUAGUUCAUGAUACUCUAAAGACCACCCUCAUUAGAUGUAGUGAUAGUGAAGAGAUUCUUCUUAUAGUGUGCUAUCAUAAGACUUCUAAAUUGAGCUUAUGUAGACGUAAAUACACCUUUAUACUCCCAAUAUUAGGAGUAACAUAUGCAAUAAUUGCUCCCACCAACACAACAUUUGAACAUGCCUUAUUAAGUCUCAAAGAGUCAUCAAGCUGAAAGGUAAGAGAAUCAGCAGAGCUCAUGGUGAAGACCACACAUGACUAGGAUAUCAAGGGAAAGAGAUAAGGUAACAAGACAAAGGGACCCGAGGGAUAGAGAAACGUAAAGGAGAAAAGGAGCUAAUAAGGACUAGCAGAAAAUGAGGGAAAUGUACCAAAAAGUUAGAGCCAUAAAAAACUACCAUUUGGGUAUAGGAGAAAGAACCUACAAAAAGGGGAAAGCUACAAACGAAAGGACCAACCUCAACCAAUAGAAGUCAACUAGGUUACUCAUUGGAGGAGACACACGGUAUACGGAACCAUCCCCUUGAGAGGAAAGGCUCAAGUGUAUUAUGGUCAAUUGGUCUAAUCACAUUAGGCAAGUUGAGAAAGAGAAACCUUAAUGACACCCACGAGACACCCCUUAAUUCAAUUUCAAACACAAUUCAAACCUCCCACCCCCUUAAUUCAAUUAUAAAAGAUUUCAAAUAUGCCACCCUUAAUUCAAUUACAGUUCAAAUCUCCUCUAAAUAAACACUCACAUGUUUCCAAAAUAGUCCAUUUUCCAAUUCUCUCUACUGUAUAUUUUUCCAAAAUAAUCUUUUCUAUUUUUAGAUUAUUCCAAAUCUCUAUUAUGGAUAUAAGGAAGCUAUGUGUAUCUAGUGUCUAGAUCUAUGAGGCCGUUAUAUUUUACCAAAAAUGCCUUUGGUGAUGAGAUUGUUGGCUAGAACACCAUCCCCAUCUCCAUCGAUUCUUGUAAUUAUACCUAUGAAAUGAGGUUGAGCUCCACCACCCUACUCAUAACAUGCACCUGGGACACGUAAGUCUACUUGAUAUUUGUUUUUCUUUUUAAACACAAGUUACAAUUUGGGAUUGACAAGGGGAUGGUACAACUGCACUGGAGAAUAUAUAGGAAGAUGAACCAAGUAAGAAGAGGAGAAAGGUGCCAGAAGUAGAGGCUUAAUGUGACAAGCAAGGGAAACUACAUGCAUGCAUACUAACUCAAAAUGGAAUAGACUGGUAUAAGACUUAUCAUAUGAUUAUUUUAUUUCUAUAAUCAAACAUGAAUUCUACCUAAAAUGUAUAUUCUUGUGUAUCUUUGUAUGUAUAUGCACAUAUAGAGUUGUACGUAGCAAGAUUAUAACUUGUACCAGCUGUGGUUUAUACUAUUGAAAAAUUUAGGUAUUUAUUUACUUGCCAUAGGUCAAAGUUCACUAGAUGAGGUAUCUAUUUACUCACCAAUGUUGCUCUUGCUCUUUCUAUGCUUAUUUAUGCUUUCUUUAAAUGUGUUGUUUAUGUAUUUUAGCUUCAAUAAGUUUUCAUAUUCUUUCGAUAAGGAAUUUAUUGAACUUGUGUAUACAUAAUGAGAAGGGAGGGAUAUUGUGCAUGAUUGAUGGUCUUUUCACUUGCUUUAUGCUUAGUCAGUCUUCCCCAUAACUCUACAUAAUUAACUUGGAACAUGUUUUCUUGCUUAAUUGGACUCAUUUAUUUAAUUCAUAUGUCUACCAAGAUGAAUUUUCACGUGCCUGCAUUGCCUUGCACUGCAUUGCACUAAAGGUAGUUUCUCGAAGGUGGCUUGUUGAUCUUUUUUUUAUUGUUUAGGGAUCUUUCUUUGUUUAGUUUCCAUACCUUUGUAUGGUUAUCCUAAACCCACACCCAAAAUUACACACCCACAAUGCCAAAAUUGUUCCCACUACCCAACUAUUUCUUCUUCUCCACGCCAUGCAAAGCAGUCACACACUAACACACUCAAAAACCUUCCACAUUUAUCUUUGAAAAUCGAUGUCCAACCUAGACCAUUGAUCAUCAGACUAGACACCAGCAACUCAUUUGCACGCUCUUAUCAUAGAUAACAUCAAUUUGACUUCCUUUCUUACAAAAAAAAAAAAAGGGCACUACAUUGUGGAACCAUAAAUUCACUUCAUAGCCCAGAGCAUGCCAAUUGGGGCUACUAGGGAGCAGAAGGACCAAUCUGUCCUUACUAAAAUGAGAGGGAAUUAAAUUGGGCCGAAGCAAACCCAUUUAUUUAUAUCGUUUCACAAUUUGCAAUAUGUAAGGUUUCAUGAUUAGUAUUGGAUUGGAUUGGAUAAUUCACCAAAUUUAAGCUAUGUUGGAAGAGGAAAUGCAGGUAGAUGUUAAGGAAUUUUCAUUUUGAGGGGAUUAGAAGGGAUAACUUAUAAAGUGUUGUUAUCCUAUUAUUUGAGUGGAUUGCAUGGGAUAAGAUUCCUUCAUGGGUGAUCCUUCUUCUAUCUUCAACUUGGACAACAUUUCUUCAUGUCCUCACUCAACAUGUCUUAAAUAUAGUAAGUUAUCCAAUCCAAUCCUAGUCACCAAAUAUGGAUCAUGGCAUAACAACAGUAAUACAAUUCGAGAGUGUAGCGAUCCAAACUAAAUCGCACCUAUACUUAAAGUUAAUUGACGAACUGAGUAAACAAAUGGACCAUUUUGGUAUUUAUCACAAUUUAUAUCGUACAGAGCCAUGGUCUUGGGGUUUGUCAUUGUGCCCAAAUUGAAAAUUUUAGGUUCGGGUCGAGCUUUAAGGGUUUUUUUUCUUCAAGUCGGGAUGAGGUUUCUAAGGGCUUGGCCUGGGCCAGCCCAUCGAGUCGGGCUUGGACAUGCCUAAUGGGCGCCACCAUGGACCUAAACGGGUUGGGCUAUUUAAUUUUUUUUUCCUAAAUCUUUUAAAUCUUUUUUUUUAAACACCUUUUUUUUGUCAAAAUUGAUGGAUAAAGAGUCUUCUCUUAAACAACAGUAAAGAUUACUACAUAACUUUAAAAAAUAUAUAUAUACACCAAAUUCUUUUACUAAACCUAGACCAAGCAAUAGCCAAUAUAUUUUAAAAAUAUUAUACCUAAAAAUGAAUCUUAUGAAAAUGUGUUACUUCUAUCCCAAACUAGGAUUGACAUCAUGAAAAUUAAAGCAAUUUGUGCCAUUAGAAUUAAUAAAACCAAAAUAAGCUUUCAAAUUCUUUAUUGAACCAUUAAAGUUGAACUUGACAAAAAAGGGGCACUAAAAGAUAUAGUGUAUAUAUUGCUUAUUUGUUACAAAAUUAACUUAAUUUAUAACAUGCGUAAACAAAAUAAGAAAUUUAUUAGUUUAUUAUACAUAUUACAUUUUUUUUUAAGGACCUUUCCUAUUGAAAGGGGCGAUAGCAUAUUAAACUCACACACAUAACACGGAUGCUAGAACUCAAACCCAAGACCUUGCAUAUUACAUUAUUUUAAUUAAGUAUAAAAUGAGGUUUAGGAUUGCAUCAAUUAAAACUUUCAAAAAAAAGGGCAUAGGCAGGUGGGCCGAGAGUCUCAAAUUGUAAGCUCAAAUCCAACCCAAUUUUAAAAUGGGGUUGAGUCAGAUUUUGGCCUAUCGAGCUUCGGACUACUCACUUUGACCCGAGUGCACCGCGGACCAAAUGAUGAACCCUCCUUAAAAAUAAAAAAAUAAAAAAUUAAAGAAGAAGAAGAAAUCAUUUUUAGGAAGCGCACCAAACUAGGACCACCAUUGACAGACAGAGACUUUUUGCUUCUGCUCUUUUCUUUUUGUUUCCCCCAGUUGUCAUAAGACCAUUCAACAGACGAGUAACAGAGGUAGAAUUGGGGGAAUUAGGUUUUUUGCUUAAUGCAAUCAGUCUAAAUAUAAACCCUUGAGCAAUUUCACUGUUUGGUUCACUCGCUCGUAAUUCAAUGGUGGAUCACUCAGACGCUUCGCCUCUCAUCGCUCCGGCGCCGGUCGCCGAGCCCAGCGAGAUCGACCUGGAAGCGGGCCCUGGUGAACAAAUCCAAUGCCGAAUUUGCCUUGAAAGUGAUGGUAUGUCUUGUCCAAUUUACUUCUGUUUUAUUAGGUUUUGACAAUUCGCUCAAUUGGGUGUUUGGUGUCUGAUAAAAAGAUUAAGGAGGAGUGUCGAAUUUGUAAAUUUGAGUUCAUGUAUUUCUGUUGGCUUGGAUUUGGAAAAUUGUCAUUUCUCUUUUCAAGUCAACUAACCAAUUAGUCUUGCAAAUGGCAAUGUUACAGAACUCUUUUCAGAGUGAUGGUUCAUUUACAUAGUUAAAAUUUAUUGUUAAUUUUAGGGUAAAAGUGUAAAGCUGUACUUUUUUUGUUCCUUUUAAAUGCUAAGUGGUGAGUAAAGUAAUGUAGCUUAUCAGUGGGUUUUUUGCUUUCUAUUUCCACUCAGGUAGGGACUUCAUUGCUCCUUGCAAAUGCAAAGGGACUUCAAAGUAUGUUCACCGGGAAUGUUUGGAUCAUUGGAGAGCUGUAAAGGUUUGGUUGCCAUCUAUAUUUUGCUUCUUUUUCUUUUCCAAAAUUAGUAAUGUAACCCCAUAUUAUACUAUUAUAGUUUGGCAUGCAAGCUUAGUGAUCCCAUCCAUCUACUAUAUCGUUUCUGAUUGCUUCUUGCUUUUAUUACUAAACAAAGCCGUGGUGUAUGAGCAUGUUCUGGAAUUCACUAAAACCCACUUUUAGCUGUCAUCUAACUAUCCCUUUUGAUUCUGGGACACUGUCCUUGUCUUUGAACUUCUAGUAUUGGUGUAAUUUGAAUUUAUUGAGAGAGAGAGUGAUUCUGAGAUCCUGUGUUUGCUGUCAUCUAAGGGCUCGUUUGGGAGUGAUUUUGGAUACCAUAAUCACUUUUGGGAAGAAGCAUCUCCCACGUGCUUCUCCAUAAAAUCACUUAAAAUCACUUCAAGUUAUUAUAUGGAGAAGUGAUUCUCCAUAUAAGUGCUUUUUGGCCUAUCCAGAAUCACUCCCAAACGAGCCCUAACUAUCCCUUUGAUUCUAAGGUGCUGUCCUUAUGUUUGAACUUAUAGCAUGGGUGUAAUUUGAAUUUAUUGAGAGAGACACAGAGAAUCGUGUCUACGCAUUUGUUUCUUUUACAAAAAGAAAGAAAGAAAAAGAUUUACUUUAUAAAUUAUAAAAAAUCAGAAUGCACAUAGUUGCUAUUUGGAAUCUAGAAUGAUGUGUCAUUUAUGCACAUUAAAAUGUGCUUGUUGCAGUUAAAAUAUGAAAUGAAGUUUAUUGAAGUGAAGUUCCUUCAACACCAAUGUCUCUAGCAUAAUGAAAUGGAAUCGACAUAUUGAUAGGUUGCAAUGUCAUGAUUCGUUUAUCUCCUGUUGUGUUAAGAGGAUAUUUACAACAGUGUGUCUCGCAGGUGUAGGAACAGGUAGCAAAUUAGUUUUUCUUUCCUUGUUGCACGACUAAUUCACUAAGUUUUAGACUUUUAGUGUGUUGCAGUAAGAUCAUCUUUGGAGAACUCAGAAGUGGGCUUUUAAUGGUCUUUGAAUCAGGUGUAGGAUUUAGCUGAUUAAGACAAACUAACAGCAUAUAUACACAUGUUCAGGUUUUGCUGCUCGUUAGUGGUUUCCCAUCUGUAUCUGACUAUCUUGGUUUAAUUUUUUCAGGAAGGGUUUGCAUUUGCUCAUUGCACAACCUGCAAGGCUCCUUACCAUUUGAGAGUUCAUGUUAUUGCUGAUAGAAAAUGGCGAACCUUGAAAUUCCGAUUCUUUGUCACUAGAGACAUUAUUUUUAUAUUUCUGGCCGUUCAGCUUGUAGGUCAUUAGUAAUUUACUUUAGUUGCUUUCUUCACUUUGAUAGCUGGAAUUGGAUGUGCAUUUUGAAACAUUUCUAUUCAUUUAUGCAGGUGAUUGCUUCAUUGGCAUAUUUGGUGUAUCUAAUAGAUGGUUUCCAGCAAUUCUGGCUUCGUCUUGCAUGGGGCUUUGACAGUGAGCUUAGUUUCUACUAUAUAUCUGGUAAAAAUUCAAGUUCUUAUGUGAAUGCUUGUACUAGAAAAAUAAAUAGUAUUCAAUGUUGUUAUACGUGUAUGUGUCUUUUUGCCCGUGUUGGUUACCAUAUAUUUGUUGUGGUAUUAUAUGCAUGGCAUCUUAGCCCGAAUUCCCUCUGUUUGGUGACCGAUGUCUGCUCAGAACUUUAUCUCUGUGAUUGUGAUAAAGGUUUUUGAGAUUCUUAUGUUCGUCAGAUUGUCCAGCAAAAGAAAAACGAGGAAGAUCACACUUCUAAGAUACUGUUAGAUAUUUAGAUUUGAUUUGAUUGCAUUAAUACACUUAUUUUACACUUUUAAAACAUCUUUGGUUCAUUUUCAUGUCUUUAUUUAAUUUUAAAUUAAAAAUUAAAUUGAAAAUGACGUAGUCAAAAAUAAAAAACAUGAAGAUUUAGUAACAUUCUAUUGAAUCAGCAUGUGAAUGAGAAUAUGCAUCCAAACACAGUAAAAGAGAAAAGGGAAAGAAAAAAAAAACUCAGUAAGCAAGUAAGCAAGUUAGAAAAGAGAAAUAAUAAGAAGAAUAAAGAAUAUAUAUUGGUCUGUAUAUGCAUGUAUGUAUCCUUACAUCAUGUUUUCAGGAGGGUAAAAAUGUAUCAUUUUUUUUUUUUUUUCCAACUCUAUCCUUAAUUGCCAUGGCAGGGACCUCUGUAUUGCUACCACUUAAGUGGUCCUGGGUUCUAACAUACCUGUUAGCGAGGUCGUGGUUCAAUUUUUAUAAGAACUUUUGGACCUCAUGGCCCACUACGGUAUUGCUACCAAUAUUAGACCAGUGAGGGCCAUAGAAUCAGUGGGUCCUGUUUGGGUAUUUAAACACUGAUCAAGGCCUGGCCAUAUUAGAUAAGUUUGGAAAUAAGAUCACUACAUUUUAAGAUGUCUAAUUGAUCAGUAAAAUAGAGGUGGAAAAAUGGAGACUGGAUAUGACUUUUAAAAAUUGACCAGCUGGAUUCUUUGGAACUUAAUGUUUUUAUGUGUUGAAGGAUGCUGAUUGAAAGAAUUGCCAUUUAUGUGAGGAAGUGGUGAAUAUUUUUAGUUCCCAAGCGAACACAUGGGUUUGUUUCACUCGCUUUCAUGUUUUCAGAAUUCUGAUAAGGUGGUUUUGCCAAAGUCAUGAUCUUAUCAUGGUCGACUGUAUAAAUUUUGUGUUUGUCACCUUUCUGAAAUUAAAGAAUCAGUUUACGACGGUCAAAGUUUAGGAAAUAUAUAAUAAGGAUGUGGAAAUACAGUCUAGUACUACUUUCUGUAGCCAUGUUGAAACCAGAUAAUCCUUUACCCCCAAGAAUAAAACGGUCAAAAAUCAGAGAGGGAGGUGACCUGCAUGGUGUACCGAGUGGAGGAAGGAGCAAACUGAAGAGAAAGUAGAUUUAUUCAUUAGUGUGACUGGGUUACAGAUUUGUUAUUGAAGAUCAUGAUGAACACCAUGUUGUUAGAUAAUCACAUUGGCACUUUAUUAUUUUGCACAAAAUAACCACAUUUUGAAGAUAGUUACAAUUAUGUAUAAUUAGAUAAAUUUUUCUUUAAUGAUUUUUAUUUAUCUCUUACAACUUGUUGUAUGCGUUAUGUAUAUUAUUUCUACAUUUUACUCUGUUUCUCCAUUCCUUGUGGAAACUCGUCUUCGUGUAGUGGAAGUUUCUUUGGGUGGAGUGUCAUUGCUACCUUUGCGUACAAGUAGUACCUUGUUUUAAGUGGUUGCUGGUGGAGAUCUUUUUAUUUCUUAUGGUUGAAAAUCAAGAAAAUUUAUGUUUCCUUUGACAAUGAUGAAAUCUUGGCUGUAGCUGCUUGUUAUAAAUUUUUAGUUUUUUUGCUUGGGAAUUAGUUGAUUAAAACUUUGUAAUAUAAAUUUACUCUAAUGUUAGGGCACAUUCUUGCUCCUUUGUUCUCUGCAGUAACACCUCUUUGCUUUUUCAUUUUUGGUAAUUUACGUACUUCUAUUGUUGAAUACAGGAGCUCUGUUGUUUUUCGCUUUGCUUGGGUUGUCUGGGUGCUUCAUUACUUGUUAUGACCGAAGAGUGCGCAAUGAUUUGGCUCAGCCUUGUCGAGAAUUAUGCCUAUGUUGCUGUCAGCCUGGGUAUAAGUCUACAUUUGGAAAUCUUUGACCCAGUUGCUACACAUGAUUUGAUUCUUCUGACUGUUUACCUGAUCAUCAUUAUCAUCAUAUUAUCACCUCUAAAUGGAAUGGAUUAAUUAAUCCUGUAUAUUUACAAGGGAGUGUUUCUACGAUAUAGAUCUAUAGAUUGAUAGCACCAAAUUAAAACCAAAGGCACUCUUGGAAUAAAUUUUUUUCAACAACCUUUAUCUUUGAGAGGCCAAAACAAUUUUGAUAGGUUCUGAUUUGCACGAAUGUCCAUUUAGCACAGUGUUAUUUUGUGACAUUUUUUGUUAUUUAUUUUUGUCAAGCUUAUUAAAUUUUAUUUUGACAAUUUUCGAACCAUAGAACCCUGUUCAAUAAGUGGACCUCAUUAGCUGUCCGCUUUCAGGUUGGGCAGUAAGGGUCAGAGAAGGGCAAUCACGCAUUAUUAAAACCAGCCUUCUUAAGACCAAACGCAUAUCUGAUACCUUUUAUCAUUUAACAGCCUCAUUGGCAGAUCAGGAAAUGUGUUUUCCUGACAUAUCCUACGGUAUACUAAUAUGGUUAUUUUGCAUAUUUUUCAUCAAAAAUCAUGUUACUACCACUUUUUGUUGGCUUGCUAUUUACUGCAGAUAGGGUUCAUACAUAUUAUCAUAAACCAAACUUUCUACUUGUAAUCAUCAUGAUUCAAAUGUUGUAUUAGGUAUUUACUUUUUUAAUUAAUUACAUUUUCCAACUUUCUUCCUUUGUGCUCAAAAUCUUAUUGUGGAGGUGAGUUUGGUUCAUGCACAACAUGAUGCGUUAAAUAUUUAAUUACUACUCAAUACUAUAUUAUUAUUAAUAUGAACUCUCUGGAAGUUUGGAAAUGUGAAUUGACACCUGAUGACAUGAACUUAAGUCUUGUGUUUGUUUCUUUGUUUUGUUUUUUUGGUUAACUGCCUGAAGAGUUGGAUGUUGUAUUAUCUACCACAACCCAAAUACUUAAUAGUUUGUGCUACAUCUAUUCGCUCCAUUUAUCUGCUUAGCAGGAGAUAAUGUCCAUUCAUUGGUUCGUAUGACAAUUAGGGUGUAUUAAUUGAAAUCAAUGUUUACAAGGUCAUUCAUUUUUACACAAUUCCCGCAGUGUAUGCGCAGACUGUCAUUUACCAGGCACACUUUGUAUGUGGACUGACUGUACCACGUGCUGGGGUAGCUGUGCAAGUAUGGCAGGUGAAUGUGGUUGCUUGGGAGGUGCUGGUGAAGCAGGGCUGCCAAUACUAUUUAUAAUGGCUUUGAUUGUGCUGGGACUUUUUACAGUGAUUGGCAUAUUCUACAGUGUGCUGGUAGCUACAAUGGUUGGACAACGGAUUUGGCAGCGGCAUUACCAUAUACUUGCAAAAAGGAUGCUGACAAAAGUGAGUUAGGGACAUCUUCUAUCAUUUUUUUAUUAUUUUUAAUUAAAUAUUUUUUUGCCAUGCUUUAUAUUGUCUGCACACUGCAACACUAUAAAUUACCAUUUUAUCGAGCACUAAGUCAACAAGUGAAGCUCAACAACUGAACAAAGUUUUGUCCUAACUACUAGGGCCUAAAUUCUAGCCAAAUUCAGUAGAGGGGACACCUCUUGCAGACUAAGCAUACAUGAUCAAACAUGUGAUUGAUGAGAAAUAGUUUAGUUAAAGAUAUAUUCUCUAAGGCGAAGGAUGACUAAACUUUGAAUCUACCUGCUUUUAUGAGGCUGUCCUUUCUUUACCAACUGACAUGCAUUUUUUUUCUUUUUUGUUUUUUGAAAAAGAAACAAAAUUUUAUUGCUUUUAACAAUAAAAUACAGUGGUGGCCAAUAUGGCCACAAAAAGAAAACAUUUUGUCUUCUUGUUCCCUCCAUUGGAUUAAGAUGCGUUUCCAAGGUCCCUCCAUUGUAUGAUAAGAUGUUAAUCAUGUCUUCUUGUCCCAUUUACGGAACAAGAAACAUUUAACUUUGGGAUCUUAUGCCCUCUACUUAGCUUGAUCUGCGAGUUGUUUUCGACGAAUUAGUUGGUUUACUCAAGUCCGUACUGAAUGGCUAAACAGAUUUUUGCAUACACUAGAUCAACAAUUUAUCAUUUCUGGAUGUUUUAACGCUUCUGGAUCUUGUCAUUACUGCAUAUGUUACCAGAUAUUUAUUUGAAAAUUUAUUUACUCGUAGGAAUAUGUUGUCGAGGAUGUUGAUGGUGAGAUGACUGGAUCUGAUUGGUCUCCACCACCUCUCCCACCUGAGCAUAUUCAGCAGCUGAAAACGCUUGGCCUGCUAUAGAUUUGAAGGGGUAUUCUUAUUAUUCACCAAAAUAACAUGAUAUUGAGAUGGACUGCCUUUCUAUUUGGUGGGGUCAGUCUUUGCUAUGGGCUUCUGAGUCUCAUUCGCUUUAAUCUAAAAUGAGUAUAUGGUUUCUGGAAAUAUCCCAAAGUCAUUUCUUCCUGGUUGAGUUAUAUUUGUAAAAUUUUGUACGUGAAUUUGUGAAAAGUGUUGCCUCUCUCUCCCUCUCUAUCAGUGUAAGAAAUCAAGGAUAGGAUAUAUCAAAUAACUAACAUGUAUAUCAAUGAUGCUUUCAAUCCAUAAAUUGCUACUAAAGAACUUUUUGCAUUUCUUAGUUUGGGGAAUGACUGAAUUUUCCCCCGGUAGUAAACACAACACCGUUUCUGCUAUCUUUGUGUUUGGUUUUUUGUUUUUGUUUUUUUGGGUGGCAAGCAACAUCAAUAAGAAAUCUGAUGUGUAUAGCUAUUGUAUGACAGUAUGAUGAAGCAGUGCCCUCCGUAGAUAUAUUCAACCAAGUAUGAUUUCUCUAAUCAAACAAAUGAGGGGGCAGAGAUAAGGUUGAUCUUUAUAUGUGCUUCAAUAUAAUCUUUUUUAUUCGUUUAAUUAUUAUCAGGAUUUAGUCUAACAGAUGGUAUAUGGUGCAUAACGGUCGAGAGAAAAAAAGGAUUAAGUACAUUAAACACCCUAAACUUUGGGGUGAUUUUAAAUCGAUCUUCGAAACCCUACAAACCCUUACAAAAACUCACGAAAAACUUACACAAACCCCUUUGUCACUAACCGUGCAAUGUGAGACUUAAUUUGAGCACUACAUGAGCUAAUAUUUGAAUUCGAAUACACAAACCCCUUUGUCACUAACCGUGCAAUGUGAGACUUAAUUUGAGCACUACAUGAGCUAAUAUUUGAAUUCGAAGACCAAAAUACAAUUCCGAGCCCAUUGUUACAAUUAAGCCAUACAUUUAAGUACUAAAGACACAUCGCUAUAAUUAAGCCACACAUUUGAGUACUAAAGACACAUCGCCUAAAUAACUGAACAGCCUAACACAGAUAACUUACCGUAACCUCUAGGAAAAGACUGAAAACUAGAAAGCAGGCCGAAAGAAAAAUACAAAGCAGAUUGACCAAAGAGGGAAAUGGAAAAGAGAAGAAUCAAAGACCGACAAAGGAAGGUUUGAGGUGUGGUUUCCUUCUUUUUGGUGAAAGAGGUGUGGUUUCCUUAACCUAUGGUUUAGGCUUGUUUUAUCUUUCAAUGGUUGGGAUUAUUUUUCAAUCAACGCUUUUUAAAUCCACCGAAUAUUCGGUGCAAUGGAUUUAAUCUGUCUCAAAUGGUCAAUAAAUCCACUUUCAAAAUCAACUAGGUUUUUGUUGAGCGAUAUUUGUCUUCUUCAAAAACGACAUUGAUAAUAUAUAUAUAUAUAUAUAUAUAUAUAUAUAUAAUUGUAACGAAGUCGGUUGUAGAUGAUAUGAAUUAAAUUAAUAUAUGAGACAGGUGUUGGCACUCCAGAGGUGAGAGUUGAGGAUGCUUCCACUUUCAGCUUUGAUUUCAACAGGCGCUCUACCAUUAAACAAUCAAAACAAAGGUAUCUGUGGGAACCCAAUGGCAAAAAUAUUAUAUAAAAAGAGUCCACGGGAAACCAAACCAGGGAAGAACCAGUAAAGCCAUGUUCAAAACCACCAAAUCAACACCACCACCCCCAUUAUAAAAAUAAAAUAACAUAAAAUAAAAUAAAGGUGUCGGAAUAUCAGCCCACUUACCUCUAAUCCUUAUCCACUCCUUCAUCUGUUUAACUGCCGCUUCUGCAUCUCAUCUCCCUAUAAAUAUUUGUCCCAACACAACCACCUUCUCCAUCAAAUUCAGUCUGUGCAAAACCAUUUUGAAAGCAAACCACUUUGAAAGCAAGUUACAGAAGAGAGAGAGAGAGAGAGAUGGCAGAUAUUGCAAUUUUGGUAGCUGAAGAGUAUGAGAGGAGGGUGAAGAAUGCAAGGAAGGCUGGAUCUGCUGAAGGAGAUCAUCAGCUGGAGACUGACUUGUUUUCCUGCGUUUCAGUUAUGGCUCACUCCCUCCACAAGAAGAUUGGACAAGAAAAGAUGGAGUUUGUCAAGUGGGUUAUGGAGCCCAAGAGCCAGAUUGGUCUUGAGGCCUCCAAUGGCUUCUUCUCUGCUUGAAUUUUCUUUGCCUUUUUUUUUUUUUGGGAUCUUUUUAUUUAUUUUCUUGCUGUACAUGUAACAUGUAACUUGAUAUCCAGCUUCUCCUUCGUUUUCAUUUGAUCUUUUUAUAAUUCAGAUAAUCUGUACAUAUUUAUCUUUUUAUUUAACAUGUUCUGAAUGAAUAUGAUUUUUUUAUUUAUCGCAUUUUCUUUUUUGACGAGGUGUCAUCACAUUCGAAAGGGUAAUCACCGUUUGAUCGCAUUCCGAUUUGGCUUGCAUAAAGUGCUUCCAACAUUGAAAUAGAUGCAAAUUUCUUUACAUGUGCCUGAGAUUUAAACUCCAAUAUUGCUAUUAAAUCAGAAAAAAAAAAAAGGAAAUGAAAAUUGUGAAUUUAUAGAGUGGAAUUUUGAAAUCAAUUACCUUGUGAUUGGGAUGGUUUGCCUCCUCUUUUGCUGCUGCCGACACUCGAAAAAGAUGUAACUUAAAUUGAAAUAUAAGGUAUAGAUGUGGUUUUUUAAAGUACAGAGAUGAAAUUGAAAAUACAAACAAACUACAUGAACUCAAAGUGUAAUUUAGUCAAAAGAUAAUUAUAAUAUUCAAAAUUCCCAAAGCAGAUGUAAUUUGGACUUUUAUUUUUUUAUUAAUUUAAAAAUGUUUCUUCAAUGUUACAUUGCUAGGCGUGAACAAAUACGUCAUACAUCAUGCGGAAAGUUUAUCGUGCUGCUAUUGGCAUUUUUGAAAGAAUUAACGGUUCAGAAAAUGCUUCUAAAGAUACUUCGACGUCAUAAAAGUUAACUCGUUCUUUUAAUUAAUAUUUUAGUUGUACAAAACAAAAGAUCUAAAGUAAGAAGUCUCUUUUACCUCUAUCCAUGUGACCAGAGGUUUGAAACUCCAGGUAUCCAAUGAAUAUUUAUGUAAACUCCUUCCCGAAUUACUUGAACUAAAAAAAGAAAAGAAGAAAUCUCGUUGCUUAGCAAACAUUACCAAAAAAAAAAUAACAAUCCUCCUUGUUCAAUCUCAUAUCUCUCAUCUUUUUUGUUCUUCAAGAAAUAGAACUAUGAUAUGUUUUUUGGUACAAUAAAAAGGACUACAUUAUGUUGACCUAUGAUCCUUUUCGGCCAACUAGGUCAAUUUUAUUCGAAUAGCAUAAUUGAUUGGGCUGAGCGAAAGUGGUAAGAAAGACAUUAUUCUUGGUGUGAGUGUGUGUGGCUUACCAGUACAAUGGUCAUGAGUGGCAUUGGGUAUGAGCGAUUGUGGCUGGGAUAGGAACAGAUUCUCAACCAUCAGGUUCUAAGCCUCAACCACAAGGUCUUUAGAAUGAGCAAGUGGUUGGAUAGUGUCACCGAGCUCAGUAGCUUGGUGGUGGCAUUGAGCUCGAUAGAUCAAUGGUUUAAGACAGCUUAAGAAAUGCAGAUAUCCUAAGAAAUUUGGAUGGAUUAGAUGGUGCUUAAGAAAUAGCUUAAGAACUGCGGGUAUCAUAAGAACUUCUUGUUGAUAUAUUGAAUGAACAAUCGAAAUAGGGAAUGCCCAAGAACAUAGAACAAUGGCUGAGUUCGUUUUAACGAGAGUUACACUAAAUCCUAAGGAAAAGCAUUAAAAAUUUUGAACUACAUGAUUAAAGGUUAAAGAGUGCAUCAAGCAGCCCUUGGGCUUGAUUUGUUUGAUUAGUGUUGAACCCUUGUCUCAUCGUUCUCCCUUCUAUUUAUAGAUUUUUAUUUCUUCGGCUGAGGAAGUUAUUCUGACCUCACUUCAACUCCCCUCCAAUAAGAUUUUGUAGCUUCUUUUCUACACUUUAUUUGUGACUGGUUAGAAUGGACGGUGGAAAAGUUAACCUUUGGCUUGAUUCUGACAUCUUUGGACGUGGAUCCCUGACCUUGGUUCGGCCUCCCGUUGUUGCUCUUUCGAUGAGGCAAGUACUUCUAUGGUCAAAAUUAUUUUGGUCUUUGCCAUUUGCUCUCUCGAGUGAGGCAAAUAAUUGGUAUGCAAGAGCAGACUAUCUCCUUUUGUGGUCGAGCUCAAUUCUUUCAAAAUGUAAGUACUAACUAAGCAAGCUUCCCUUUGUUUGCUCUCUUGGUGAGGCAAACCUUUUCUUGAUUUGAAGACCUCGACUUCAUUCCUCAUUUAGGCUACUCGUAUGGGCUCAAAAGUCUUUUCUUAGGCCCAAAGCAUGCUUCUUCCUUUCCUCUGAAGGCCUACUCCUUUUAAGCCCAUGAGCAAAAAAUUCUAGGUCUUAUGAUAUUAUUUCAUUAUUUUAUUAUUUCUUUUCAAUUAAUUUACCUAGAAAGUAAUAAACCAAUAAAAAUUAUGUAAUAAAAUAAUAUUUUAAGUUGACAUGUGGGGUGGAAUAUAAAACCCUAUUCUAUUCCAAAUUUCCACAUAAACCAUCAAAUUCAAAUUUAGUGUUUGAUAUUUGACAUCUUGAAAUACUUCAUAACAAACUUUAUUUAGUUUAUUUAAUUAAAUUGUGAAGGACUUUGUGAUGUUUGGAAGUUUGUGGCUCUUCGUUUCAUGCGACCUUUGGCUCUUAAUCUUUCAUCUAAUUAGUUUGAUGAGGCUGUAGGAGAGAGUUCAGAUCCUUUAGGCCCAAUUUCUCUGUACCCUAGCUAAUUUGUUGACACUUAGACACUAAUUUAACUCUAAUUGAACAAUGUUAAGUCAAAAAAAUAAAAAUAAAUAAAUAAAAAAGGCCCAACAACCUCGACGACAACCCAUCACCUCCUCCUAUUCGCUCAUCUUUGUCUUCAUCUACAUCAGAAAAUUGACCAAGCAUAUAAUCCUAGUCUUCUGCAAGACAUACUCCACCGCCUAGCCAUGGACGCUCUCCCGCAAGACACACUCCACCAGAUCAUCUUGAGCCUUCCCCUCCGUCAGGUCAUGAUCUGCUACUCACUCUCCAACUCUUCAACUAGCUCCUGUCCUCCAUUCCCUGCCUUCAUGUGUUCGACUCUGGCCAUAACUAAUCGCUCAGAUUCACCCUAGAUUUUCUCCCCUUCCACUCCCCUCACCCUGUGGCAUCCUCUCUCAGCUACGACCGCUAAGGGGAAUUGCCCAAGUCUACCAAGUCACUAGUCAUCCACAACCUGCUGACUCGCCAGUUCUAUGUCUUGCCCUAGCUCAGGUCGGCCUGGUCGCGCCACGACUCAGUCUUCGUUGAUUCCGAAACUCAAGUCAUGGUCCUCACCGAGCUCACCGCUCUCUAUUUCUCCGCUUCAAACCAGUGGCUCUAGUUCUCAUCCAACCUCCCAUCAAAACCCAUAACUUCAUAUAUAGCAAUUAGAAGAAAAUAUUGAUCCUAGUCUUCAUCAACUUCAGCAACUUCAAGGCUCUUUAUUCCUCCAAGUUGUCCAUUCCUCCAUGUGAAUUAGCUAAAGUUGAUAUGAAAGAAUUUUUUGCCUUUUUCUGUUGAUGUUGUCGUUGCCGUUGAUGUUGCCUUUGCCUUGUCUUUGCUUGCUUUGAUUUCCGUUGUUGUCACUGCUGCCGUUGACCUUGCCUUUAUUUGCCCUUGCUUUGCCUUUGACCUUGCCUUGUCUUUGCCUUGCCUUGCCUUUGCCAUACCAUGUCAAAUAAAGUAGGGCAACUAUUCAAUUAUACUCAUAUAUGCUCAUCUCUUUAUUUUUCUCCAAUAUGGAGGUAUUUAUAAAGAAGUAUAACCCUAAAUAAAAUAAGAAAUAAAUCCAAAUUACAAAAGAAAAUAAAUAUAAAUUACAAUAGAAAAUAAAUCUCAAUUAUACUAGGACUAGAAAAAUGGGUCAGUAACCAAAAUCCUAACAUAGUAAGGUGCCAAAAUCCUAACUAAGUAAGGACUCGCCAACACUCCCUCUCAAGUUAGGGCAAAGAUAUUUUGCAUACCCAACUUAACAAGCGAGUCAUAGAACACCAUACUUGGCAUUGGCCAAUUGAACAACUGUAGAUAAGGCCUUCUCAUAAACCACAAGUGAAACAACUGACAAACCCUAACAAAUAGGGCACAUAUAAGACACAUAAAAGCAGAACACAGAAACCCUGUGAGCACGGCAGUAGGUAAGACAGAAUACAGAAACCCUAUGAGCACGACAGUAGGUAAGUAUGAAACAUAUUCAACAAACUAGGUUUCAUAGUGCGCAUCAUCCAACUUUUCACGGUAACAUCAUCAAUUUUCCACUUUCCAAAUUGGGGGGUCUUUGGAAUGUGGGGCAUCAGAGUCACGAGUUAGGUAACCCAAUUUUCCUUGUGAAGUAGCAUAGAGUUUGAUCAUUGAAGCCCAAAUUGCAUAGUUGGAUCCAUUCAAUUUGAAUUCCAAGAGUAGGUUGGUGGACGAAUCAGUAUGAACCAUCACAAUAGGGGUAGGAGAAGCAGCAGGUGAAGUAAAACCAGAAGCAUGUGAAGAAAUAAAGGCAUCAACAUUCGACAUAGUGAUGGAUGGCAGGGUGGCGGUAGUGGCGACAAUAGCAGCCCAAGUGAAGGACAAUUCCUCCAUAUCUACUACACCUAAUUCACGCAGACACAACUUCUCUUCACUCCCCUAAAGAGAAGGGUCGUCAAAGUUAAGAAAUAUGCAAUAUCUUCAUGGGAAAGAAAAACAUAUAUUUUUCACCCCCUUGAAGACGAGGGGAGGAGAGCAAUUAUUGCAAGGAGAAUUCAAGCACAGAUCACAAGAGAACCUGGCUCUGAUAGUCAAACAAAUAGGGCAAAUAUUCAAGUAUGGGGUUAUUCGCAGCAAUGGUCCCUCAACUAUACCCGUAGUUACAGUUUGGUCACUCAAUUCAAUUAUUAGUUUCAGAGGUCACUCAAGUAGGUGUUUUGUUGCACCAUUAGUUAUUCUGUCAAACUCUGUUAAAUUUUCUGUCAAAAGUAAGGGUAAAUUUAGAAAUUCAUCUACAACCCUUCCUCUCCUCCACAACCCUCCCCUUUCUCCACAACCCUCCACUUUCUCCAUUGCCACAACCCACGCCUUCCUCCUCCACCUCCUCCAAUUCUUGCACCAUUGCACCAUUUGACUGCUGAAAUUUUUGAAAGGGCAAAAAAAUUGAGGCUCAUCAAUUAAGAAAGAAACUGAAUGGUGUGUUGUCAUGCGCUGGCAAAUAAGAAGGGUAUUUGGCACAAAACCUCAACAGAGGAGUUAAUUACUGAAAUGACGAAAAAACCAGUAAAAACCUUUCAUCCAUGUCUAUCUACCAUUCAAAACACAUAAAGUGUUGAGACUUUGAGACUUUGCACACAAUUCCCAAACCCAUCUCCAUAUCCCUCACUAAUUCUAACAGUUGUAAUAUAGGAAGGAAGAGCCGAGCACUCUCUCUCUCUCUCUCUCUACAUUUAUGUAUUUUAUGGUUAAUGGUUUACAGUGAGUGCUGGAUUAGGGUGGGAGGAAGGAUUGGUUGGCGAGUUUGGUAUAAGGUUGGAGAAGCAAUUGAGUUGUCUUUCUCUUUCCUUUUUUUUGCCCAGAUUUUGGUACAAGGGAGGAGAAGCAAGGAUUGGGUUGCAACAAUGGAGGGUUGUGGAUAAAAGAGAUGGUUGUUGAUGAAUUUUCAAAUUUACCCUAACUUUUAACAGAAAAUUUAACAGAAUUUGACGGAAUUGUUGGAAUUUUAAAAGGUUUUAAAAAUUUAACCAUUUUAUUUAUUUAAUUAUUUUGGCUGUUUUAUUUUAUUUAUUAUGGGGGUUAUAAAUAUUUAAUAUUCAUGUUUUAUUUCUGGUUGGUGAAUGCCUUAAUUUUUUGGUUGGUGAACUUUUAUGGUUGGUGAAGGUUAUAUGUUUUUGGAUGCCUAUAAAAGGCCACUCCUCCUUUACACAAAAACACACAAUAAGACACAAUAAGACACAAUACACUAUCAGAAUAUCACAUACACAUUCUAAUUUUAUCCUUUUCUAGUUUUACAUAUAUUCUCUACUUUAUUAUUAUUAUUUUGGGCAAUGGUUAUGUGACUUGGAUACCUAUAUCUGUCUGUGAACGUGCUCAUAGCAGAUCUUGAGUUUGUGUACAAGGGGUCGUAUCUUGGAGUCUUGUAGACCGUCAGUACCUGCACGUAGGGAGGCUACAAAGGCUUUAGGACAGCGUCUUUGACGUGCUUCACCGUACCAAACUCACCUUCUUACUUAUUAUUUAUUUUCCUUUUACUUACCUAUUAUUUUAUUUUCUUCAAUUUUAUUAUACCUUAAAAGCUUUCCAAUUUGUUUAUAUGUUAUUUAUAAUAUAAAUAUUUUGUAUUUGGCUUUACGGAAAGAGGAAAACUAUUAUUUUUUAUAACAAUGACUAAUGGUGCAACAAAACACCUAAUUGAGUGACCUACGGGUAUAGUUGUCGGACCAUUUUUACGAAUAACCCUUCAAUUAUGCUCAUAUAUACUCAUCUCCUUAUUCUUCUCCAAUAUGACGGUAUUUAUAAAGAAGUACAACCCUAAAUAAAAUAGAAAAUAAUCCAAAUUACAAUAGAAAAUAAAUAUGAAUUACAAUAUGAAAUAAAUCUCAAUUAUAAUAAGACUAAAUAAAUAGGUAAGUAACCAAAAUCCUAACAUAAUAAAGAACCAAAAUCCUAAUGAAGUAAGGACUCGCCAACAUAGAUAUGGUUGGCAAUGUAGAUGGGAGCCAAUUGGGUGGGUUGUGGUUGGAGUUGUAGUUGUUGGGCUCUUUGUUUCUUUUUCUAAUUAUUUCUGUUUUUUAUUUUAUUUUUUACUUAACAUUGUUAAAGUAGAGUUAAAUUAGUGUCUAGGUGUCAACAAAUUAGCUAGGGAAUAAAGAAACUCGGUAGGAGACUAUAAAUACUGCCUUUUCAACAUCUUCUUACACACAUGGUCUAUAUUACAACAUCAUAUUUUUCAGUCUUCUAAAUUUCUUGAGUUUAUUCUUGGGCUAAAUAAAUGAGUGCCCUUAAUUUUAGUGGAGCUUUAACCUUUUUGUUUUUUUUUUUAUCACAAGCAAAUUUCAUUACUUAGGAAAGAUUAUAAUACGGUGCACUUACGAAAAAGGUAAGACCCAAAAACAUAAAGGGGCAGUACCUCCAUCCACAUAAAGUGUGACUAACAAAAGCACACCACAAAAAGGCCAAAGGCCCAAACAAAUCCUUCAAAAGGGUAAACACCACAUUUAACACACUUAACUUUCCCUCACCCAAGUAAUGUGGGAUUGUGGCACCAUUCAUCUCCUUGGAGACCCGAUGUCCCUGUUAGAAAGAGCCAACUCUCUUAGUAUAUAUUGUCCAUUUUAGAUCCCGCCCACAUAGAUUUGUUCUAGGGCCUUCAAGCCCAAAAGCGUCGUACUAAGGGAGAUGAACUCUGAACAUAUAAUGCACUUUAUUUUCCCUCACUCAAGCAAUAUAAGGCUGUGGCACCACUCCUGGUCAUCACAGAGGUUAAGGGGAGAAGCUCCCACCAUAUAGAAGUACACUGCAGUAAAAAAUAAAAAUCUACCAGUAAAACCAAAAAUCCCUCACAACAUAGAAAUACAGAAGCACAAAUUCAGCUACUCGAGAUUGUCGUGAUUUUCGUCACUAUAUUCAGUAUAUUUGUACAGCUACAAUGAGGACAAAAAAACAGUGUGAUUGCUAGUGAAUGGACCUUAUUAUAUAUUAGGCCCAUUUCAUAAGGGGAUUAUUUAAAUAAAAUUAUUUGAGGGAUACCCUUUGGGGUUAAUAUGAAUACUUUUCAAUAAUUCGAAUGUUUAUUUUCCAAAUCUUCAUUCAUAGAUCAUUUUUGCAAAAAAUUAGACAAAUUGGUAACAAUUAAGACAUCUAAUUGUAAUUAACAAAAGAGACGAACAUGAUACUUCAAGAAAGCACUACAAUGACAACAAUUAAUUGAGUGGUCAAAUGAUUUCGGAUUCAAGUGAAUUUUUUUGCAUGGAUGGUAUUUGAAUAAAUACAUAAAAGAUAGACUGUCUGAAUCAUUGAAAUUCAUUGUGGAAUGGGCCCAUAAGGGUGUCCCUCAAAUACUUAUUUGAGGAAUCCCUAAACUGUUUAUAUAUAAAGAAAUUCUCCUAUGCAGGCAUGCAAACGUUAUUAUCAUUCACACAAUAAUAAUGUAUCGACAUCUGUAUGAGAGAAUAACUAUAUGUUUGCACUUUAUGCCAUUGUAAAUAGGGAGAAAAGCAGGGAGGUGUAAUAGAAAAUAUAUAGCGUCCACACAAUAAUAACGUCCUAAUGUCAACAUAGGAGAAUUUAUAUAUAUAUAUAUAUAUAUAUAUAUACACGACCAGUGGCGGACCCACAGAGGAACAAAGAGGUGCAGUUGCACUUCCCUUAUGCUGCCCACCAACUGCUCGAGCACAUGCCUGAACAAUAUUCUUCUUUCGUUGGUUGUGUUGCUGCACUACUGGGUUAAGUGUAGUGCCUUUGUUUUUUUUAAAAAAAAGUCUUGGCCAAAACGAUUUCGCUUUGGUCCAGGCGAGAAAAAAAAAAAAAAAAACUUGCAAACUGCCGACGCGGAAGGAAGCCUCCCAAUCCAAUUUGAAGAAGUCGUGCAAGGUGAUAUUACUGAUAUGCAGCAAAUCUCAAUUUUCUUUUAGUCAUGCAAGAUGUGAAUUUCAACGGAGAUGGAGUCCUUGCUUUUGCUUUAAAAUUUGAAUUUAAGCAAUUUUAGGUCUGGUUCCUUUCCUUUCUUUUUUUAAAUGAUAAGUUUUUAUUCACACAUUGGCCAAUAUCAAAACCAUUAUUGUUGUUUUCUUUUUGUAGAGAACUCUAAGUCUUUUAUAAAAACUGAUUCAUCGAUCAAGUCUUGUACCAAAGAAGAAAAUAUUGUAUCGAUCAAGCUUUCAAAGUGUGUUCGAAUGUAAUUCAUAGUUAAUCUAGAAAAAAGAAAAAAAAAAAUGAAACAUGCUGGGCUUUUUUUUCUUUUUCUUCAUCAACCAUGAUAGUUUCAUUUUCGGCAUAUAAAUGAAAUUAGCAUCCUUUAAAUUAUAAGGCUAUUUGGUUGUCAAUUUUUUUCAAAACUUUUAGCCUUUCAAAAUUGCACAUCUGUCGAAAAAUUCACGAGUCCGCCAGUGUACACGACAAUUAAUCCACCUACUAUGUUUGACUAGCUCACCAUUAUCUUUCGUGUUAAUAUAUCAUGAGUGUCCCAAUGGACAACGCACAAGAAGUUCAUUUGCUAAUAACUCAAGUGGAAAUGGCAGUAAUGGGUUUUACUAACUUUAUCAGGAAGGAUCGCUAAUUAAGCAGAUUGCACAAGACGAUUAUUUGUGAAUACAUUGUACAAUUAAUAAUUUCAAAUUUUAAUCUUGCUAAUAAAUUGCUGUUGAAAAAAGUGCAAAUAGUAGGUUAACAUUGUAUUAGGUGUAGAACUCCAUCAAAUAUACCAUCAAAUUUACCUACCAAUAUUUUAUUAUUUGAGGAACUAUCAUUGUAAACUUUAGUAAGUAUAUACUAAUUUCUGGUUUGGUCACUCCAAUUUAGUUCACCAAAUAUCCACUUUGUUUGACCCUCCGGGCAUGCCAAAACUUGCCAGUUAUCUCCAACCAAACCCAAGUCCCUAAGUUUUGGACAUCUAUUUUGAAUCCAAGCCAAAUACUUUAACAUUGCAAAGAUAUUACAACAAAACUUCAUGCAAGGUUCCAAAAUUAAAGUUAUAGUGCAAGCAGUGAAUAUGCAAGAAAAUAUCAAAUGAAAGCAAGAAGUUCUUGGCCCCAGCUUAACCCCACUUGAAAUGCGUAAACAAAUGCGUAGGGUCUAUAGAAACACAAGGAUUCAAGACAGUGUCACAAUCGAAAGAUCACUUUGGAUAAGAUAUUCAUCUCAGAAAAUCUUGUACUCAAACUGCUUUUGGAUAAUUCAAUGUGCUUUCCGUAUACAAUUUUAUUGCAAUAGAUAAAAGUAACUUGCACAUUUAGUGCUAUUGGAGAAAGCACCUCUCAUAAGAAAUGCUGUAAUGUAGACAUGUGCUUAAGCACUUUUGUUUUUUUGUUUUUGUUUUUUGUUUUUCUAGGGAAGAUCAUGGAAAUUCACUCAUUGAAAUAAAGGUUUACAUCUUUCUCAAGUGUUGGGAGCAGCCAACUAGGAGGCAAGCAGACCUAAUCACAUGAGACUAUUACGAAACUAGUAGCUUUGUGAAAUUUUUAUAUGUUUUUAACAACACUAUUACGAACACAAAAUGUACAAAAUGGUAACCAAAAAUUUACAAAAUAUGCUCCGUAAAAGGCUACAUAAAAAAAUUAUUGUAUUUUUUGUUGUUGUAAAGAAAUGAUUUUAUAUAUAGAACCAAAAACACCUUACAAAAAUCUGAAAAAAGCACAUCCCGAAUGAUAUUUAAGUCCCGAUACCAAACGGACUCAACAUACAAUGAUAAAACAAAACAAGCUAAUCUAUGGGCCGUGAAUGGAAGAUAAAAAACAGGAAGGGACAAUUCAUGCUUUAAUAUUUUAUGUACGUACAUAGCUAGGGAACAAAAAAGGAAAAAGAAAAAAAGAAAAGGCAUACUAAUUCUUACACGAGAAACUCUGAUUAGAAAAAUCUGUGUAAGCUGUUACCCUGUAACGAAGAUAACAAGAAAAUAAGCUCCUCAUCGCUGCCAUCAUAUUGUACCUGAUUUCUCAGCCGAUGAUAGCUAGCCACAACAUCGUCCGACAAGACCUUAGUCCGGCAAAGAGGACACGUGGCCCAAUACUGUUGGAGCCACCUGUCAAGGCAGUUCUGGUGGAAUGUGUGCUUACAUUUGAGCUGCCUAAUCUUGUCACCUUCCUCAAAGUCUGAUAAGCAAACUGAGCAUUCUGUUGCCUCUGGCCUCACGCUCCUCAAUUUUUGUGUGUAACACGUUGUUGGAUUUUUUUGCUCUAUGAGCUUGAGGUAUUGUGUGGUAGUGAUCACACGUUUGCUCGAAUUCGGAUUGAGACCGGCAAUCGAACGGACGAGAAUUACAAUUUCGAGGAUGAGGAGUGUGAAGAAGAUUAGGGUUAUGGUGUAGAGGUGGGAGAAGAAUUGAGAGAGAGCUCCCAUGGCUGCCGAAGACUAAAGAAAUGAAGAUAGAGGGUGAGGUCAAGUUAAUACAAUGAGACUUUUUGCCUUUUUGGAUAUAACAGCGAAUGUGGGCAAGUGCAGUGCCCUUGUGUUGUCCCAUCUUUAAAUAUCUUAUAGAAUUGUUAGGAUCUUCAUGUUUUGGAUUCGAGGGUUACGGGAUUUUGGUGCAACCAUAGUCAAAUUGUGACAUGUGGAUAGAAAAGAAAGAAUGUAACAUCACUAUAAAAGCGUUAAUUUUUGGCUUAAUUAUAACAAUGUUGUGAACUAAAGAGAAAUUGGAGAGGAAAUUGAGAUAGAGAAAGUAGAGAAACUGAUUUUCUUCAUUCUGAUUUUUCUGUGUUUCUUUCUAACAAUUAGUAGGCAAAGCCUUCCAACAUGUGGGCCCCUUUCCAACGUGUGGGCUCCACACCUAAUUAUUUACAACACUCCCCCUUGGAGACCACAAAUGGUAUGGAAUAUGUCUCGUUAAAAAAAAAAACUUGCCAGUAAAAACCCAGUGGGACAAAAACUGGUCAAAGGGAAAAAGAGUACAUAAUCAUGUGUAACAUAAAAUUCUGUGUAUAUUGACGCGCGUGCGACACUGCCUCGUUAAAACCUUGCCAGGAAAAACCCAGUGGGAUAAAAAUCUGGACGAAGGAAAAAGAGUACAGUGUUUGAAGAUCUUUAUUGAUAGCACGCUCCCCCUGAUGCUUGACAAAAUAUCUUUAAGUCAUACUGUUGAUCACCUUUCUGAAUAUCGUAUUUGACACUGCUUCUGUGAGUCAAUCUUGAGCGACACUGCCUCGUUAAAACCUUACCAGGAAAAACCCAGUGGGAUAAAAACCUGGAUGAAGGAAAAAGAGUACAGUGUGUGAAGGUCUUUAUUAAUACCACGCUCCCCCUGAUGAAUAUCUCCUCCUGAAAACUUCAUGACUAGCUUUUUCCAGUAAGCGACCAUAGAGAUUUCCAGAGUCCGCAUAUCUAAUAACACUUGGGCUAUUUGUAAGUUCACGCAAAAAUAUGCCCGUAUAUGGUAUUAUGCUGAAAUAGCAUCAAAUAUGCCUCACAUCAUCCCAAAAUGAUGGUGAUGGAGUUGAGCUCCAUCUGGAAAAUACAACGUACGGUCCAAUAUAUUUCCGGAAAAACAUUUAAGUGCCCAACGGAUAAUCCUAAAAAAAAAAAAAAAUACUUCAAUACUUUCUUAGUAUAAGCAAGAAUCUCAUUGGCAUAAUGCUCGAUCUUUAAGUCGAGACAAAUAUUUCUUGAACUCUUCAGAAGCUUUGCAAACACAAUAUAAUCAAUGUACUCACUAAGGCAAUUUAUACAUAUUAAUAUUGAGUACAGAUUUUGUGCUUCAAGCACAUGUCCUUUAGGGACUUGCUUUAUGCAAUUUCAAUCCUCUCAAAGGAUUUUGUUUAAAAGGGAUUAAACUUUAUGACACAUUAUAUAGCUUUUACCCAGCUAUUUAUACAUCUUUAGGGAAUCACUUCUGGCGAUAUGCUCCGUGCAUUUAAUAACCCUUAAAGAUAACAUGUUGGUCUCUGUAAAUGUGCAAUAAGGGGGCACAAUUGAAUCUGUAAAUAUGGAGAAAACCCAACAUUCCUUGUUUCUACCAGAAACAUUGUGUCAUACAAAGUAGAUAUAUUCCCUUUUAUUCUGAACACCCAAGUAUAAAUUUCAGUAUUAACAUCUUUUGGGGUUCGUACUGUGGGUUUGUUCUUUCACGUUCAUUCUCAUCUAUAAUGGAAUUGCCUCAUUCCAUUUUGGCCAAUGAUAUUGUCGACAUUUAAUAAUUGAACGUGUUUCCAAUCAACACAGCCCAUUGAUGAUUUGAGUAGCUACUCCAAAAUCAAAAUUUGUCAUUCAUCAAUUUAUGAUCCCACUAUUCUCAUUUGCAUGCGCAUACAUCAAUUAUAAGCAUUUCUUUGCUUUUGGGUACCCAAGCCACUGCAGGGGGCUUUUAUUAUGUGAGAAUGUGGAUUAUAACCUCCAAUGGAGCGUUAUUUUAUAGUAGAGCGUGGAUAAUCUCCAUUUAGGGAGUUGGAACAUUUAGAACCCAUAUAUCUGUCAUGCUGCAGGCAUGCCACAGAUUAAUACAUACAUGUCAAUUAAUUUAUGGGACUUUAACCCAUACAAUUUGCUACGCAUUAGGCGUGCACAAUAUCAAUAUUGACAUGUCAAAGGAUUGUCCUUUCGGGACUUCAAUCCACAUCAUUUGCUACGCAACAGGCGUGCAUCAUAUUGAUCACUGCUAUAUCCAUAUUCUGUUCUUAUGGGACUUUAAUCUGUGCAGUGUAUUAUCAAUGUAUCCAACUUGCAAUCUGUAAAAUUUGCGUUAAUAAUUCAUGGAUACAUACAAGCCAUUCUUUUGGAACGGACUUAUCUCCCCAUUUGGUUACCUUUCAAGAUAAAAUAUCAAAUAGGUAUAUAAGCAUAAAAUAACACAAGUAUUGCUUACAUCCUUAGGUGGGAGAAACUUUUCUCAAGUAUCAUUCAAGCUCAUAUCGGCCCAGUAAAUAUAAUGUAGCGCUUGAUGAUCUAGUUAUAUCCUGCAAGAGCAAAAAUCACAACUCUUUUGCCUCUGUCAAAACAAAUAACCUUCAUAGUUAGGAUUACUUCAUGGAUUCAUUCUUCAGAUGUUCAUUCUAAAGAAAUAAAAUCUCUUAUGAACAGAGAGUUAUAAAAAGAGAAAAAAUGCAAAAAUAAUGUGAUAUUGAUUGCAAGAGAAGGUAAGCAAUCAAGGAAGGAAGCUGGUGGGAGCAGACAAUAAGCUCUCAUAUCUCCUAGUCUAGAAGGACUUCCGGAGAUUAGAGUAUAAGAUCGCCUUCACAAUUUCCUGAUGUAGCGGAAACGUGAUCAGGGAUAGUCUUGCUUCCUGAAUGGAUGAUCAGAGAUAGUCUUGCUUCUCGGGCAUAUUGAGUGCUCACUGAUAAGAAAAAUAAGUAGAUAUCGCAUCACUAGGUAUGGAGUAAACUGGAUGUCUUCUGCAAAGAAAAUUUCGUUAGUAACACAUUUAUACACAAAUACAAUGAAUAGGUAGAACCGGUGAAUUUCAAAUUAACCAUAGGAAAAUUGCGAGAUUCUCGGGAUACUUUUGAAAAAGUAGCUCCGUGAAAUCCGUAAAGCAAGAUUAGCUUUGACGAAAAUAAUAAUUGAAAACGCCGAAAGUGCCGACAAACAUUAAUGGAGGCCACGUGAAGUUUUGGAAUCUGGGAAAGAAAAAGAGAAUAUGGGGAUCCGAAAAGAUAUUGGGAUCCUGAAAAACAGUAGCCAUAUUUCCUCCUAUAGAUAUUGCCUUUGCAAAACUUGAUUGGAGCAACUGCGUUUCAACUUAACUUCCUUCAUUUUCUGAAACUUUAGUUUUCUUAAGACUUUCUUCGAAACCUUCUUAAAAAUGGCUUCCUCUUCUUCCUGCCCAAAUUAUUUCAAUUUAAAUGAUACUCCCACAACAACCAGUGAUGCCAAAGUUUGGCGUCCAUCCUUUGUAUCCCAAAAUCGUCAUCUCACAGUUAAUGAUUCUGUGAUGAUGAAUGAUGCUACUGCUUCAUAGUAGCUAGGAAUUUCAUGACUCCAAUGGAUGAAAUGCUGUUAACAGGGAGGUCUGAGGAAGAGGCUAUUGAUGACUCAAUGGCUUUUAGCAUUCAGAGUGCUGCUUCUGUUUCUAACAUGGCUGAUCGUUUGCGUGCUAGAGCAAACGAGGUUGAGAGGCUAACAACUGAAAAUUCGUCUCUCCAAAGAAUGCUUCAUGAGUCUCAACAGGAGGUUGAGAAACUUAAAGGAGAGAAUAAUGCCUUGUUGAAACUGGUGAGUUCGUACUCUGUUGAUACACUGAGAAGGCUAGACAUGCUGCAGGUCUCCAAUGAAAGAAUUUUGGGAGACCACGAGAAGCUCAUGGCUAAGCUUAAGAGGCGCCGUCCUCUUCCUUCAGAGGCUUCCAGAACAUAAUGUAAUUUUAUAGAUUUUACAGGGCCUGCACCUUCAUUGCAGGUGGAAAAAAUCUAUCUGUUAUAUGCUCCUUUCCUAUUAUAAUAAUUGCGCACAUUCUUAAACUUACACCUGUGGUUUUUACGUCUUUUUAAAAUGACGGUUUGGAACCUUGUGCCUUAUAGGUUCAAAUAACCACAUUGUCUCUCCCAAAUUUCAUAUUUUAUCGCAUGGUAGCCUGGAACUUUUGGCCUGAGCUAAACACAAACUCAGAAUUUAUUUGCCCUUUUCAAAUGGACAUGAAAUAUGAAUUGAGUAAAAGCCACGAUAAUAUCGCAAUAUAGUAGUGAAGAGCAUUAACUACUAUAUACCCACAACUUCAAGUUCAGGAUCUCUCAUAUAUUUGGAUCCAUGGGCUUCUGGCCCAGAUAUAACAAAAUAUGUGGGGAGCCUCAAUUCAUUAUUUGAGGUUUAUAUUAAUAUUAUCCAUUUCGCGGUGUAUUCUUAACAACCGGAAUUCACAAAAUAUAUUUCUUACUUGAGGUGUCGAUUAUAACAAAAUCGAACUUUAUUAAAUUCAUCAUCUUCUUAUGCCAAAGAAAUAUGUGGCAUACCACAAUUUGCAAUAAUACCUCAAGGGUUGUCCAUUUAAUUGUUGGAACUUCAGGUUCUCAACACUGUUAGAUUUUGAACCUCAAGCCAAAAUCACAUAUUCUUAUGGUAUGGACAUUUUUACAAUUUUCUGUACAUAUUUCUGGACUUCAAGCCCUUAUAUAAUUGUCCAUAUCUUGAGGAACUUCUGGCAUCUCAUUUAAUUGCUCAUCCAUGAGUUUAAGGAACUGCAAGUUCCCUUUUGUAUAUAGUGACGGUUUACCCAAAAUGGUUAAUAUUUAUGCAUACGUCACUAUUCAUGUGAAUAGUACUAUUCAUCAAGUUAUGAAUACGUAUCUAUUCAUGUGUACAGUACAUCUGCCAGUACAGUUAUCAUCCAUGUGUACGGCACUAUGAACCAAUAUGGUACUGUUACAUCAUUAAGGAACUCUAGGUCCUUAUUUACAUGUCAGGGAUCAAGGACCCUUAAGUCCAAUCACAUGUUUACAAAUACAGUACCGGAGAGACUGCCAGCUAUCAUAUUAAUAUCAUCAUCAAGGAUCUUCAAGUCCUGAUGUAAUUGUAUGAUGAGGAUCAAGGAACUUCUGGUCCUGAUCUGCAUACUGUAAAAACUCAUCAUACAACACAAUUAAUCCAUAAAAUAAAUUGCUGGUAAAUAAAUUACUGGUAUGGACGAUAAACCCGCACCAUACUUUAAAUAAAUGUAAAUGUGCGGUAAAAUAAAUUCAUAAAUUAAAUUGCUUGCUGUAUGGACGUUAAUCCCGCACCAUACCUUAAAUAAAAUUAAAUGUGCGGUAAAUUAAAUUCGUAAAGUAAACGUGCUUGUAUGGGCACUAAUUCUGCUCCAUACUUUUAAAUAAAAGUAAAGGCAUGUGCGAUAAACUCGCGCCACCCUUUUAAAUAAAUACUGUCGUAUGGGUAAUAAUCCUACACCAUACAGUAAAUAAAAUAAAUGUGCGGUAAAUUAAAUUUCAUAAAGUAAACGUGCUUGUAUGGGCACUAAAUCUGCUCCAUACUUUUAAAUAAAAGUAAAGGCAUGGGCGAUAAACCCGCGCCACCCUUUUAAAUAAAUACUGUCGUAUGGGUAAUAAUCCUACACCAUACAGUAAAUAAAAUAAAUGUGCGGUAAAUUAAAUUUCAAAAAGUAAACGUGAAUCUGCACAAGUUCCUCCUGUACACCUUUAAUUAAUAUAAUUAUAUAAAAUUAAAAUAAUAGAGAAGAUAAAGGAGCAGAGAUCUUAUCGCUUAUUCUUUCGGUGGGUUUUGCUGUUCUCAUCAAAAGAUGUUUUAGCACUUUUCCUCCUGUUACAGUGAGAUGAAUUGAAACCAGGUCCAGAUUGGCAGAUUCCCUUCCAUGAUUUUGGAAUGGGUCCCAUUCCUUCAUCACUAAAGCUCUUUGAUUCUGGCCAGACACCACUGUCAAGAACCCCAACUAUGAUGUCCUUGCCAAAUCUGGCUUUGGAUAAGAAGUCUCCUCCCAUCUUGUUGCUUGUCCAAUGCCUCUUUUCCUCUUCCAUUAUGCACUACAAUCUUCAACAGUACCAAUGAAGACAUUUUUCAUCUUCUCUCUCCUUCUCCUUCCUCUCUUAGCCUCAUGUGCAGAACGAAAACAGGUCUACAUAGUGUACUUUGGUGAGCACAGUGGAGAAAAAGCUCUACAUGAAAUUGAGGACACACAUCACUCAUAUUUGCUCUCUGUGAAAGAAACAGAAGAAGAAGCCAGAGCUUCUCUGCUUUACAGCUACAAGCACAACAUCGUGCUGAUAACGUGUUGUGAACUAAAGAGAAAUUGGAGAGGAAAUUGAGAUAGAGAAAGUAGAGAAACUGAUUUUCUUCAUUCUGAUUUUUCUGUGUUUCUUUCUAACAAUUAGUAGGCAAAGCCUUCCAACAUGUGGGCCCCUUUUCCAACGUGUGGGCUCCACACCUAAUUAUUUACAACAAACAAUACCCUCUAAAAUGCAUGACAUGUAUUAUGCUUUUGCACAUGUGGCAUCACAUGUUGAUAAGUCCAUAAAUUUACACAUUUAUAUACCCUUUAUAUUUAGUUUUGGUAGGAAAAUUUGAUUUAAAAUAGACUUAUUACUUUAUUUUCUCAAUUUUUAAUCUUCCAGAGCAAGUAAUUUGUUUUCAACAGAAAUAAGUCUUUUUGGUGGAGUUUUAGUACAAGAACAGAUGAAAGCUAAGAUCUUGAGGAUGAUUGUGGAAUUUUUCUAGAAUUUUCGAAGCAGCCAAUAAGAGCAGUCUUUGAAGUUAAGUCAGCAUAAGGUGCAAUCCCAUCAAAACUGUACUGCUGUGGAAGAAUGACUAUUUGAAGACUUUCCUAAUUUUUACUCAAGGCGUACAAUAUAAGAAUGACUAUUGGAAGACUUUCCUAAUUUUUACUCAAGGCGUACGAUAUAUGGCUGGAAAGAUAAGACAAAGACCUACAAUUUGCAUAUUUUUCCCAAAUUUUCUUGGAGGAGGAACAACCCCAAACCUGCAUGUAAAGUAACUGAUGUGUUAUCCCAGUCUAAGUAGGGAGAUGAGUCAAUUACUUACCCAUUUUGGAUUUAUGUUUUAAUUAGGUUUUGCUUUAUUUUUUGGCUGCUGUAAAAGCCCAGCUAGGGUAGGAAUAGAUGUGUGGUGUUUUAUUUAAGCAUGAGAGCAUCAACAGUGGGAGGGCGUAUAAUGAGGUGUAUGUUAAAUAUACACCCUUUGUGAUCGGAAUCACCCGCAAUGGAGAGGUAUAAACGAGUGUAAAUUUGCAUCACCACCAUGAUAUGCAAAUUUAGAUGCACAUGUACAUUUUUUU